This 66796-nucleotide long non-coding RNA is filed under the name Zea mays. Its description in RNAcentral is "long non-coding RNA (ZMAY_LNC002145)". Lineage: Eukaryota; Viridiplantae; Streptophyta; Magnoliopsida; Poales; Poaceae. The record is from RNAcentral.
UAUUAUUGAGACCAACUAGCAACAUAGAAAGCACAAUAUUGUACCAAUAAUGGCAGCCAAAAUAUUUUGCCUCAUUAUGCUCCUUGGUCUUUCUGCAAGUGCUGCUACGGCGAGCAUUUUCCCGCAAUGCUCACAAGCUCCUAUAGCUUCCCUUCUUCCCCCAUACCUCUCACCAGCGAUGUCUUCAGUAUGUGAAAAUCCAAUUCUUCUACCCUACAGGAUCCAACAGGCAAUCGCAGCAGGCAUCUUACCUUUAUCACCCUUGUUCCUCCAACAAUCAUCAGCCCUAUUACAGCAGUUACCUUUGGUGCAUUUAUUGGCACAAAACAUCAGGGCACAACAACUACAACAACUCGUGCUAGCAAACCUUGCUGCCUACUCUCAGCAACAGCAGUUACCUUUGGUGCAUUUGUUGGCACAAAACAUCAGGGCACAACAACUACAACAACUCGUGCUAGCAAACCUUGCUGCCUACUCUCAGCAACAACAGUUUCUGCCAUUCAACCAACUAGCUGCAUUGAACUCUGCUGCUUAUUUGCAGCAACAACAACUACUACCAUUCAGCCAGCUAGCUGCUGCCUACCCCCGGCAAUUUCUUCCAUUCAACCAACUGGCAGCAUUGAACUCUCAUGCUUAUGUACAACAACAACAACUACUACCAUUCAGCCAGCUAGCUGCUGUGAGCCCUGCUGCCUUCUUGACACAGCAACAUUUGUUGCCGUUCUACCUGCACACUGCGCCUAACGUUGGCACCCUCUUACAACUGCAACAAUUGCUGCCAUUCGACCAACUUGCUUUGACAAACCCAGCAGUGUUCUACCAACAACCCAUCAUUGGUGGUGCCCUCUUUUAGAUUGCUUAUGAGUUAUAGUUCAAUAAUAAAGUUUUUUUUGCUGAUAUUUGUGGCUUCCCAGAAAUAAGAAAGUACAUUUCUAGAUUCUUAUGUGCUUCUAGUCUCCAAAUGUGGUUGAUAGUUAUUUUGCUCUAAGAUCGGCAGUAAUGAGGUAUAAAUACUUGUUGUCGUGUGCUACUCGGUUAAUUGAGCAUUAACACACAUAAACAUUACAAGGAUGGUAUAAUCUCCUAAAAUGUGUACAUUGUUAGGUGUAACCCUAUAGCCAUGCAGAAUGUGCUAUGUUAGGCAUGCCGAUGGAAACGUGUGACACAUACGUUUUGUUAACCUAUUGAUAUUAUAUGUGCCUUUUAUAUUACCAUAUUUUAUUAAAAUACUAAUAUUUAUUACUAGUAAGAUAUAACAUUCUAUCUAGCUUAAAAACUAACCAUAAAUAUUCCAUCAUAACUAGAUUUACCAAACUAAUAUACUAAAUAUACAUAAUAAAUACAAAAUUAACAAUACAAUAUCAAUAUUUAUGAGCUUAAUAAAUUUAAACAUUAUGGUUGGCCGACGAUAAUCAUACUGACUUUCCGUAAUUGCUUGAUUGUAAAUAUACUUAGACUAAUGCCUCUUUGUUCUACAUGGCAAAUAGGGACCACUCUAGGAGACUAGGAUGUUGCUUGAGACGAAGAUGUUAUCAUUGGUGUAGACUAAUUUCUAUCAGCCGCUGACUUCACUAUUGUAACCAUUAUCUCUUGGGUAAAUCAUAUACGAUUAUCUAGCCAAAGGCCCAGAUGAUAAAAACAAUUUUUAAUUGCUAUUUCAGGACAAAUGAAUUAGCAUGGUUCGAAGGAUUGCGACCUUCCCCCCAUGACUUUUAUCGUAUUGUGUUAGUCUAAUCGACAAAACCAAGAUUAGAUAUCAUCGAAGAAGUUGAUAAGCGAAUCUGUGACCACUAUCAGAAUCAGCUGCUUUGCCGAGUGUCUAAAACACUCGACAAAGCCUGAAAAACACUCGGCAAAGGAUUUGCCGAGUGUAACACUCAGCAAAGAAAGCUCGGCGAAGUAUACAUCGGCAACGACUUCUUUGCCGAGUACUUUUUAUCGGGCACUUGGCAAAGAAGCGUCAUUGUCACGACGAUAGGUAAUGCCGACGGAGUCUGUGACGAGUGUCACAGAGUGACGCUCAGCAAAGGCUCACUCUUUGCUGAGUGACCACUGUACAGACACUCGGCAAAGAAGCCCCCGUGGGUCCCUUUAUCAGGGCCUUUGCCGAGCGUAUUAGGUGGCACUCGGCAAAGGCUCCAUCUUUGGUGACUGCCCGCCAGACUAGCAAUCGACAAAGGGAUCAACAGCGGAUCCCUUUGUCAGUUCUUUUGUCGAGUGCUCUAGGAGGCACUCAAUAAAGCUUGUGUUGGGGGCCUUCUUCUUCCGAAGGUCCUCAAAAACGUGACUAACCAUAGGUUUUCAGUAUGACAUAGACUAUUAUAGGAAGCUUUGGCUUUGGGAUGAAGGCGUGUGAUAUGAGGAUACAGCCCAAAGGCAACAUGGAUGGACGUCGAAGCUAUGGCUAAAGGAGUUUCGGCUUGGCAUGUUAGCGAAGAUGAAGGACGAAACCGACCUAAGGGAGAAAAGACUAGUUAGUCCUUGAUAGUUUGCAUUAUGAUUAAGAGCAGAUAUCAGGGGCAUGCAUGUAAUCUUAUCCGGGCUGCGUCCCGUGCCUAUGAAUAGAUGAAUAGUAACACCGUACUGUUCACGCUGGAUUAUAAUCGCUCCUACGUCACUCUCGCGUCUUCACCUUUUGGUAAGCUGAAGGUAUCAAUGUAAUACAAAUAUUGAUGAUGUUUAUUCAUGUUUAUGAAAUGAGAAUAUAAAUAGCUUGCUGAUUCGUAAUCAUUAUUUAUAUUCUUUUGUAUUUCAUGUACCCUUAUUUAGAUGUGUUCACUGAGAUGAUGAAGGUAUGCCCUUCAUGACCUUCGUUCGGAAACCAUUAUAUCCAAAAGGAGAUAAUGCUUCGAAGGACGAAGGUCUCUAAUUAUUGACAAUCAUGUUGUCUUGUUCUUGAUGUAUAGCAUUUGGGAACAAGGACCAACAUUGGCGCCCACCUCCCGUGAACUCAAUCGACCACCUUCGGCAAGCAUCGACUUUCGUAAUGCCGCCGAAGAAGACAAUAGUGCCAGGGGCUGCCCUGCAGCCACUGGACACUAAUCAGGAAACGCUGCGAGAAGCUAGGAUCUAGAAGAGGAAGGCUACUAGCCCAACACCUCAGGAGGAGGAGCUAGAUCAGGAGAUCAGAGAUUUGGAGGCUAUCACCAGCAGGUACAAAGAAAAAGGGAAAAGAUGCUUCAGCUCGUCGAACUUCAGAGAAAGAUCGACAAAGCUGCUGAAGAAAUGCGUCACCUUACCCAGGAUGACCAAGACCGAAGGCCCCAACAUAGGGAGCUUCAUCAAGAAAGCCCAAUUAAUGACGAUGAGUGGUAUGGUGACUUUCAUCGUGGCAAUUUUGCUUUUGAUGAUGCUUCUCCCUUGGCAGCAGAAUUGCAGGCUACCCCGUGGCCGCCAUCAUACAAGCCACCUCAGCUCCCCAUGUAUGACGAGCACUCAGACCCGAAGCAACCAUAUCCUCAUAUGGGGGCAAUACUGCGGUCAUGGCAAAGUCCUUCGUCAUGGCAGUUAGAAGCGUGGCUCAAACAUGGUGCUCUUCUCUUCGGCCAGGGACAAUUACGUCGUGGCAAAAGCUAAAAUACAUACUGGUCACUAGCUUCUAGGGUUUCCAAUCGAAACCAGUUACUGUCCAAACUCUGUUCCAGUGCACACAGGACCAAGAAGAAUACCUCCAAGCGUAUGUCCGAAGGUUCCUGCGAUUGAGAGUUCAGGCGCCUACAGUGCCCAAUGAGAUUGUCAUUGAGGCCAUGAUCAAGGGGUUCAGACCAGGACCAACGGCGCAAUACUUUGCAAGGAAGCCACCACAAACCCUAGAGAAGCCGACGAUGAUUUUCGGCAAAGAAGGCAAGAAGCCUACAGAUACUCUGAGAUGGCCAGGGGCUUCGGAGGAAGAUUUCACCCUAGGCAUGUCAGGUCAAUCCAUAAUACCAGCUCAAGUGACGACAAGGGAAACCAUACCCAAAGGCAGCAACACAGCUCUCAGUCGUCAGGAGCACAACAAAGCUCUUUGAGGCCACCGGCUCCAAGAGGUAGAGGGGGGAGAAGCUUCGGAGGAAGAUAUGGAGAUCAGCCCAGUAAACAGUUUUGUUUGUUCUGCGGUGAAGAUAAGGGGCAUACCACAAGAACGUGCCAAGUUAUGAUUCAGAAGCAGAAAGAAAUUGCUGAAGCUGAAGCACGUUCGAAUCAGCCGAAGCAGGUUCUGCAUACUGCUUCGUGCUACUCUCCCUACGUCCCGGAGUAUGUAGACAAUCAACAGCCUACGACCUUGGUCGCUUCGGCAAGCCAUUCUCAAGCUUCCUGGGCCCAGUUGCCACCACCACCACCGCUAGCACAUGCUCUGGUCCGCAAUCAAUAGCCAGAAGGGCACCACCAUGCUUAGUAAUAGCGCGACCUUCGGGAGGAGUCCGAAGCUCGCACAGUCAACAACAUUGUGCCUAAGUCGAAGCACAUCUAUUAAAGGUGCCACGGUGAUUCAAUUAAAGAAUAUCUUACCCUAAUGUAUCUUAGUUUUUCCGCCAUUUUAUUUUCUUGCAUGAAAAACAAUUCACGAAGGAUUAAUUUCCAAUUUGAUGUAAUAAUACCGUGGUCGCACCAUCGAGUGUGGAGCGCAUCGCCUUAACAAUACUUCCGAAGCUACAAAGACGUUCCUAAGGGAGCGCGGAGUAAGUUCUGAAGCUACAAAGUUGUUCAUAAGGGAGCGCAGAGUAAGUUCCGAAGCUCAAAAGUCGUUCUUAAGUGAAUGCAGAGCCAAGAUGCCACCAAAAUAAAAGGUGAAGAAGCUCAAAAGUCAUUCCUAAGGGGAUGCAGAGCUUAAAUGCCACCGAAAUAGAAGGUGAAGAAGUUCCAAAGUCGUUCCUAAGGGGAUGCAGAGCUUAGCUCCAAAGAUGUUCCUAAGGGGAUGCAGAGCUGAAAUAUAACCUAAGUAAAAAGUGAAGAGACUCAAAAGUCGUUCCUAAGGGGAUGCAGAGUCUGGAUGCAUUUUCGAGUGGGUGUGUUUCUUCGGCAUAAACAUCAUGCUGUAUCAUAUCAUCACAUCAUUUCUCAUAGCAUUACAUCAUACAUCACAUCACAUCAGCAACAGAACUGUGGAGAAGCAAAGAUGCUUCUUUCAAAAUAUUUGAUGAAUGGAACAAUGGGCUGAAGCAGAAAGUGUACCUUCAACAGCUAUAAUUUUACAUACCAAGAAAAAUCUUCGUCGACAAACAAUAUUAUAUAACAGCUACGACAUAAGAAGGGGUGAUUUUUUAUUUGUGAAGCAUGAAAAGAAGGGAAGGUGUUUUUUCACCAAAGGCUAAAAAACAGGUAAGUACAUACAUUUCAUGCAUCACAAAGAAAUAUAUUACAUUAAUAUACAAACAAAUGUUCGAUGUUCGACUCAUACACGAAUAUUACAUUUCUUAGUACACAAGAAUUUAGUCUUCUUUCAAUAUUUUCUCGGUAGCUUCAUGUAGGAGUUUGUUGACAGCUUCAUCAACGGCUUCUUCGGCAAUCCUUAUCGUUUCUAAUGCCCCCCUCAUGGCCGGAUCGGCCUCGGGAUCAUAUGGCUCAGGCGGUGGUGAAAAAUCAGCUGUAAUAAAGAACAAGUUGUUAAUAUCAAAGCCAGAAACAAAUACUGAAGCUAAAAUUCAGUAAUAAUACCUAUACGCCUUGCGCGCUCAGCAACCUCUUGGCUCGCUUAGCUUAUUCUCGAGCAUCAUGGGAUUCUUUUUCAUUUGUCUUUAUAGCUUCAUCGGCUAUCUCACGGCCACCUUUCAUCCAAACAUUGGAAUAAAACUUCUCGCCCAUCAAAGUAGCUUCGGCCGAAGGCUCCUUCAUGUCGUCUAUGGAGAAGACGGCUUCCGCCUGGGCUGCAGUUUUAACAUGUUCACAGCCAGUUUUCUCCAAAACUGCUGCAACCCCUCGGGCACCGGCGAAGGCACAAAAAUCCUCGCGUUCGCUAAGUAUUUCCUCAAAAGCUUCAACUUCUUCGCAAAUCCAUUGAACGACUCCUUUUGGAUCGCCUCGAAUAAAUUUUUGCUCCGAUGAGUAUGCACCCACCUUUGCAAAACUGUCUUUCAGUUUCUUUGCAUAGUCCAUGGAUACUUCGUAGCAUUUCUCUCUGGAACCCCGAAGUUCUUCAACAUUCUUCUCAAGCCUGGAGCUUGUCCAUUCACUUAUAUCUUACUUUGCCUUAGCAAGUUCAAUAUUUUCGCUCAUUUCGGCAAGUUUUUUGUGAAGGUCUUCGACUUCGGCUUGGUGAGCUUCGGAUUGUGCAUUAAGUUUUGCUUCGUUGCUCUUCAGUUUAUCCACCAAGGAAAGCAGUAUUUUAUCUUUUUCAAGCGCCUCGUUCCUUAAUGUAAUAACUUAUGACCGAAGGUUCCCAAGGGCUAUUUGGCAGCUUUCAUCUUCUGCAUUCUUUUGUGCCCUUAAAGCCUUGCUUAGGAUUAAUGCCUACAAAAAAUGAAGGAUCAGCACACAACAAUAAGAAAAGAUACAAAAAGUAAUCUGCUUAUAAGCUAAAAUGUCCUCACCAUCAGACUGUUAUAAGCAAGGAUGUCUGCAAGGUCAUCUUUCGACAUUGCAGACAACCCAAGCUCUAGCUUCGGGAAACCUAUAUUUUUUGCCAUCUCCCGACAAACAAAUAUUUUCUUGUUGUCUGGAAGGCAAUACAAAAAAUCAUCUUCGUCAGUGCCAUUAAACAUGAGGGAUCCUGGGGGAUACUUCAGAUCCUUAGCAAAUUGCCUAGCUUCGGCAACCUGCUCCUCUGAUAGUUUUUCCCUACCGCGUGACACACUAUAAAUUCCGAUCCCUCAGUAGAAGCUUCAACGGCAAGGAAUUCAGAUUCUUUGCUGGUUCUCUCUUUUCCUAACGGUAACGGAGCUUUUUCAGCAUCCAAAGGUCCUUUUUCAGCAUCCUUUUCAAUAAGCUCUGCAGGCCCUAUUUCUGCGGGAACUGAGGGCCCAGCUUCAGCUUCAACCCAAGUUAUGAUAGCUUCGGCAGUUUCCUUUGUACUUUUCUUACCCAUGCUAGGUACUUCUGUAGAGGCAGGAGUUAGUACUUUUGUCGAUUCCAUGACAGCAUCCAGUACACUAGCCAUUCUCCUCCUUUUUGGAGUUAUCAAAGUAGUUUUUUGAAUCUUCGGCAAUUCUGCCUCUGGCCGUGAAAAAGUUUUUGGCUGCUCCGCUGCUAUCUUCAGAAUUGGCUCUUCGGCUGAUCCCAAUAUGGCUUCGGCAGUAGCGAGAUGAUUUUGCUCAGCUGCAGAAGAAGACCCUUCAACAGGCUUUGACACUUUGGCCGUCUCAGAGUGCCUGGGCCGGUGUGUCAAGACUUUGCCAUUUUUCCCUUCGGCGUGGCAGAGAUUGCCGAAGCAGUAGCCUUCCUUUUCUUUCCCUGCUUUCGCGAGGGAUAACAAUAGUCUGGGUACACAAAACCAAUUACAUCAAAAACCCUAUUUAAUCUCUUCUUGCCUCGUCCUCCGAAGGCCAAUGUCAUGGCAUCGUCUUCGGCCCUUGUGUAGGCCCCAAGCAAUUCGUCACUAGUAGCCUCAAUGCAAUCCAACCAGUCAUCGUUCGGCUCAUCGAACUGAUCUCUGUAUCUGAAGGUGUAUUUCAGAUAAACUAAACUAACUUGACUGGACCCGGCCGCAGCUUCCUUCGACAUCUCCCAGCCACUUCCAAGAGGCCACACUCUGUAAGCAAUAUGCUCCUAGACUAAGUCCCUAGUGCCAAUAUAAGUACAUAAAGUGUUAAAGUCCGUAUGGCAUGCUUGAAUAUCAUGUCCAUGGACAGUGGUUGGCCUCCUAAUGCCGAAGCGAGACCAGAUAGGGCAUUGAAUGAUCCCCUUUAUAUCUUCUCUUUCAACUAAGUUGUUCUUCACAUAAAACCACUCUUGCAUCCAGGCUCCUGGCCACCUCUUCCAAAAUGUUGGGACGGGAUAGCUCACACCAGAGCGAGGCAUGAAGCCGUAACAACGAAAAUUAUUAUGAUAUUGUUCUAUGCCAGUAGCCUUUGUCUCAUAGGACAGGUCAUGCAUGUUGCAGAAGCAUUUUGCAUUCGGCUCUAAACCCUGGCCCAAAUGAAAACUCCCAUUCUGAUGAUAUCUUCGGGGGUAAUUUGAUGAAGGUAAAUUUCAAAAGUCUUCAAAACUUCAACUAAAAAUUUGUUCAGGGAGAAUCGAAGCCCUGCUUUCAUAGAACUCCUGUAGACAACAACUUCGUCUGCUUCGGGCAUAGGGGCACUGCUAUCUCCUCUGGCCCUCAUGAUAGAAAUAUCGCGGAAGUAUCUUCCUUUCAUUGCAUCAAUCUGACUCUGUUUGAUGGUUGAUUUAGCAAAGAUGGUAUGACUCGGUCGCCAGGGCUGAUCUUCGACAUCUUCGUUUCCACUUUCUAAGUCAAAACUUUCACUAUCGCUGGAAUCUUCAGACAACCCAACCAACAUCUCAUUGGUGAUCUUCUUCAUAUUUGUCUUCUCCAUAGCUUCAUAAAACCCGGCCAAUGCAGGGUCAGCAAUCUUCUUCUCUUUAGCCAUUUAGACAACGAUUGCACGAUUGUCGAAGCUUAAAACUCAAUCAAAACUCGACAGAGCAAGAGAAUUCAGAAUGUCUAAAAUAGCGCAAGCAACUGAAAUAGCACAGCAAAUGCUGCCAAUGCGAGUUUCUAUUUAUAUGCCUCACGAUUUGGUGGGCCAUACAUGUCAGUGGCUUUCGCUAUUCUAGCGAAGGGAAGGUGUUUUUUCGGAUCUUCGGUUAAAGGCCUUCGUUCACGUCACAGUCUAAAUUUGUUACAAAGAAACAAAUUAAUACUACGAGGGGCUACUGUUGGGGGCCUUCCUUUUCCGAAGGUCCUCAAAAACGUGGCUAACCAUAUGUUUUCAGUAUGACAUAGACUAUUAUAGGAAGCUUCGGCUUUGGGAUGAAGGCGUGUGAUAUGAGGAUACAACCCGAAUGCAACAUGGAUGGACGUCGAAGCUAUGGCUAAAGGAGCUUCAGCUUGGCAUGUUAGCGAAGAUGAAGGACGAAACCGACCUAAGGGAGAAAAGACUACUUAGUCCUUGAUAGUUUGCAUUAUGAUUAAGAGUAGAUGUCAGGGGCAUGAAUGUAAUCUUAUCCGGGCUAUGUCCCGUGCCUAUAAAUAGAUGAGAAGUAACACCGUACUGUUCACGCUGGAUUGUAAUCGCUCCUACAUCACUCUCGCAUCUUCACCUUUUGGCAAGCCGAAGGUAUCAAUGUAAUACAAAUAUUGAUUAUGUUUAUUCAUGCUUAUGAAAUGAGAAUAUAAAUAGCUUGCUGAUUCAUAACCAUUAUUUAUAUUCUUUUGUAUUUCAUGUACCCUUAUUUAUAUGUGUUCACUGAGAUGAUGAAGGUAUGCCCUUCAUGACCUUCGUCCGGAAACCAUUAUAUCCAAAAGGAGAUAAUGCUUCGAAGGACGAAGGUCUCUAAUUAUUGACAAUCGUGUUGUCUUGUUCUUGAUGUAUAGCAUUUGGGAAUAAGGACCAAUAGCUUGCUUCUUUGCCGAGUGCCAAGGCCACAGCACUCGGCAAAGAGUCUUUACCGGUGCGCAGGUGUGCCUUCUUUGCCGAGUGCUAUGACAUUGACACUCGGCAAAGUAUCUCUUUGUCGAGUGUAACACUCGACAAAGUGACCAGAUUAUCCCUUUUUAUUUGUUUUUGCUAUUCCAUCCAAACAAAUAAAAGAUAUAUCGCAUAAUCAUCACAUAUACAUCAUAGAUAUCACAUAAUCAUCGCAUACAUAAUAGAGACUGCAUAUUUCACAAAAAACACAAAUCUCACAAGUUUUUCUCAAACAUGUCCAUGUUCAUACCAAGAUUCACUAACAUAAGUAUCACACAACUCUAAAACAUAAGUUUUUCACAAACAUAAGUUUAGGACAAGUUUAUCACACAAGCUAAGAGAAGAUCAUGAGCGAGGUGGGCGGCUGGACUGGUGCGGCGACGGGCUGGGCGAUCCACGAGGGUUGUUGGAUGCCGCCCUAGAUUGUCCCUGCACAGAGAAGAGAUUGCCUGUGUUAUACUAGAUAAAUAUACAUCAUGCAGGACUAGAAUUUUGAUACUCAUAGGAGUAUGGAACUGAGCAGGGUCAACUGGAGGGAACAACGGAGGUGGUGGAGCAAAACCCUGUGCGGUGCCAAGGCUCUGCAUGUACUGGAACAUCUCUGCCAUCCUCUGUUGAUUUUCCAUGUGGGCCUCCCGCUCCGCCAUCAUCCUCGCCUCCAUAUCCUACCGUUCCCUCCUCUCUUCUUCUAGCUAGGCAUAUAAUAUUUCAACCCAGUGUUAUAAUAACUCAAAGAGAAGGUAUAUAACUCAAGGAAAGACGAGUUACAGAAGCACUAACCUGGAGUUGUUGUAUCUCAUGAUGUGAGUUGUCCUGUCGAGGUCGUAUGGCUGGGCUUGAGCUCGUGGUCCUUGCUCGCACCUGAGACAGAGUGGGAGUGGACAACGAGUCGAUUGUCCCGUCGGCAAUCCAGUACCUCCCAUGCCUCUUGCCUCCUCUGACCCUCAUGAGAACAUCUCCGUCGAUUUCCUUGGUCCUCGGAUCGUAAUCUGGCCCAUGGACCUCAUGUGACAUGGCAGUGUACUCACUUAGGCGGUUGUAGACGGCGGAGUUGCUAUAUGCCUCGGGCCCGUCAUCCGGGUUGUAGGUGACAUCGGACGUCGCCUUUCCCUUGUGGGCCAUAGCAUAAACCGAGAAGAUGGAGCAUGGCUGGCCACCAUGUAACACCAAAUGCAAUAAAAUCAAUGAGAUAGUUAGAAAUAAUAUCUAAACCAGUGCUAUAUACCUAAAUAAAAAGAGGGCGUACCCAUGCUUCUACAUAUUUCCAGAGGUUGCGACUGCCUUGGUGGUGGGAGGGACCUUACAUCAUCAAAUGUCGUUCCAUGCUAGCGUUGUGCGCCUCGUCCCACUUAGGCGAGCACCACCUAUCCACCAUCUGCUCCUAGCACUGAGGAUGCGCGGCGCACCAAUAAGGAAUCAUCUACAAACUAAAACAAGUACAUUGCAUAUCAGAAGAUAAAAUUAAGCAAUUUUUUUCACGAAUAUUAAAGUGAUGUAUUUACCUGCAAGUAUUGGUCCCUAGUCAACGACAUGGUUCGGGCCUCUUGUUUGGUCACCUUCUCUCUAAGGACGGAGCCAUGGUAGAUGAUGAUGACCUAGAUUCGUGCAUCGUAGUGCAUGUCCACGACGAGCUUCUUACAGCUUGUGGUGGCCACCACAUUUGCCCUGGCCUCGUAUCCAGCCUCGCAUCUGAAGAAAUCCUACAUACAAAGGCGAUAUAUCCAUACAUUAUUUCAAGUAUGUGCAACAAAUGCGACAUAUUUUACAAUAUAGUAAGACUUACUCAUAGCUUUUGCUUCACCCGCUCUGCCAUGUUGUUAAAUUCCCUAUCGUCCUAGUCUACUGCAUCAGGGGUGACGACGUAGUGGUCGAAGGUGUAGGCAGUAGGUUGGGCCCACCACUCCAGCGUACUCAACCAGUCCAGGGAAGUGUUCCCUACACAUAAGGCCAAGGAUGCCAUUGGGUUGUGGUCGUGACUCCCUGCAUUCUCCACAACCUUUCAAGACCUGUCCAAGUGAUAAAUAAAAAGUAUUAGUUUAUAUUAUGAAUUUGAACACAUAAUAUGAACAAACAGUGAGAACAUAAAAUUACAUGUCUCUCCCCAUCCUUCUGAAUCAGCGACCGCCUAUCUCGAAGUAUGGGACGCUGAGGGAGACUCGUGGGACCUCGCUGGUAGACGUUCCUCGAAUCUGAAGCACCAGAACCUGAGGCGUCUUGCUGAGCGUCGUCGUCGUCCUACUGUGUCGCAUCGAUAACGACCUGCUGCUGGACGUCGUCAUCCUGUUGUGCCUUCUUCGCCUUCCUACGGGUGCUCCUCCUCCCCCUCCUUGUCCUCAUCCCACCGCCCACCAUAUUUGUCCAACAACCUGUAAUUAAGGGUAAGCAAAUAAGCACAUAUAAAAAAGUUUAUUUACAAAUAGGCGUGAAAUAAAAAAAAUAGCAUUACAUCGUUUAAAAAAAUCUUCAUAUGUGUCGGGGUUAGCCAGAUCAUAAGUGUCAUCAUCACAAUCAACCAUUUCAUAGUCAACACCAUCUGAAGGCGCAAGUUCUUCAUUAAUGUCAUUGCCUUCAAGUAAUUCUAAGUCAUUCUCAUUUUGCACCUCAUCAACAACCAUUUCAAUAUCUACUUCCAUUCCGAUAGCUUCGGUUAAGUCUAUCUCAAAUCACCCUUCUAGCCCAUAUUCUUGGAAGAACUCUCCAUCAUAUGUAUCCGGGUCUAAGUUAUAAUCUUCAUCAUUUGGAACAGGUAAUUUACCGUGCAGUGAUACCUUAUACACAACAUCCCAACCCAUCCAUGCCUCAUAUAGGAGAUGAAGAAUCAAAUGCUGCAUUGGAUUGAAGAAGUCGAGUGGAAAUAUCUUCUCAAGCUUACACAAAAACACGGGUGUCAAUCUUUCCAAGUCUGCAAUCACGGACCAAGAUAACUCUUUCACACAAAGCUGGCAGAAUAAAUAGCUGAACUUUGUAAGCGCUAGCCAUACAUGCUCAGGGACAUAGCCUCGAACCAUCGUCGGAAGAAUCUGUUCAAUCCAUAAGUGGAAGUCAUGACUCUUCAUCCCUAAGACUCACAGAGUAGAUAAGUUCACCCCCCUACUUAGGUUAGCUGCAUACCCAUCAGGAAACAUCAACAUCUUGAUCCACUAAAGUACUUCCUUCCUCUGGGCCCUACUUAGGACGAAAUCGGCCUUAGACCUUCUCCAUGUCUUUCCACCACUAGGCGGCUUCAUUUCUUGGUUUGGUCUAUCACAUAACGCUGUCAGAUCCACUCUUGUCUUUACAUUAUCCUUUGACUUAUCAGGAAUGUCCAUAAUUGUUGCCCAAAGUGCCUCGGCGACAUUCUUUUCAGUGUACAUCAAGUCAAUGUUGUGUGGAAGGAGUGGGUCAUCAUAAUAGGGGAGCCGAGUCAAGCCCGACUUAUGUGUCCACAUAUGCUGCUCACCAUAUCCCACAAAUACACCUUCUGGAUUGGCCACGAGCCCAUCUAUUUGUUGACGAAUUUCGGCACCAGUCAUCAUUGCAGGUGGUUGGUCUGUCACUACAACACCUUUCGUAAAGUUAUUGAUGUCUAGGCGGAAUGGAUGGUUAGGAGGGAGAAAUUGUUGAUGUUUAUCGAACAACGAAUAUUUGCCACCCUUUUUCAACCAAAUGAACUUAAGAGCUUCCUUACAAACUAGGCAUGGGAACUUACUGUGAACACAAUAGACACAGAAUAGCCCAUACGCCGGUAAGUCAUGCAUGGCGUACUAGUACCAAACAUGCAUUUUGAAGUUUUUCUUCGUAGCUCGGUUAUACGUCCAUACCCCUUCCUCCCAAGCAUGUACGAUUCAUCAAUCAAAGGCUCCAUGUACACGCCCAUUUUAUUCCCCGGGUGUCCGAGAAUUAUCAACGACACAAAUAUGUUCUGCCUUUAAAAGCAUACACCGGGGGGAGAUUGAUUGGGAUAACAAACACGGGCCAACAUGUGUAUGGGGCAGCGCUCAUUCCAUAGGGAUUGAACCCAUCUGUGGCCAGCGCAACACGUACAUUAUGAGCCUCUUCAGCUUUCUCGCGGUAAAUGGCAUCAAAGUGUUUCCAUGCUUCACCAUCGGAUGUGUGCACCAUCUUAUCAUGAUUGUAUCGUUUGCCAUUUUUGUGCCAUGUCAUCUGUUUCGCGGAUUCCUCAGUCAUGUAUAGACGCUGGAUCCUCGGUGUGAACGGAAGGUGGUGUAGGAUUGUCACGGGGAUGUCGAGCUGCCUAUCAUGUCCAUCACCAAAGUCUACCUCCAUGAACCUAGACGAUUUACACUUCGGACAGUACUUUGCUUCCGUGUAUUCUUUCCUAAAUAGCACGCAGUCCUUCGGACAAGCAUGUAUCUGCUCAUAUGUCAUCUUGAGUGCACGGAGGAGUUUCUGUGUGUUGGGGACCUUCGGCAUCCGAAGGUCCUCAAAAACGGGAUUUAACAGUAUUUCUGGAAGUAUAAUGUGUGAGCAGGUACCUUCAGACUCAAGUCGGUAUCACGGCAGGAGAAGACCCGGAUAAUACGAAGGUCUUGAUACAACGCCGAAGAUGUUAGCAGGAAAGCUUCGGCAUGGUUGCAGAAAAUGAAACCGACUUAAAGAUGAAAAGGCUAUUCAGACCUCGAUAGAUUACUAUAGAAUUAUUAUCAAAUGUAAAGGGCAUGAAUGUAAUUUUGUAUGGGCUGUGUCCCGUGCCUAUAAAUAGGUGAACAGAACCCCCGUACUGUUCACGCUGACUUGGCAUUCGCUUUUUGCGUCACGCUUGUACUGUCAUCUCCUUCCGAUUGAAGGUACACUUGUAAUUCAACGAUAUUUCUGUUUAUGUCUGAUAAUAAUAUAUAAUUGUUCAUAUUGUCUUUUAUGUUCUUUACAUUUCAUUCUUCGUCAUUGCUUAAUGAAUUUAUGAAGGUACGUCCUUCAUAACCUUCGUCCGUAAACCAUUAUAUCCUAAGGGAAAUAAUGUUUCGGAGGGCGAAGGACUUUAACGAUUAACAUUUUCUAUGUUGCCUUGUUCUUAACUCAUAGCACUUGAGAACAAGUCCCCAACAUUGGCGCCCACCUCCGGUGAACUCACUUCCACUCUUUGAAGUUUUUUGAACACCUUCGGCGAUCAUAAAUCUUCGUUAUGGCGCCGAAGAAAGCUUCAGCGACUGGGGCUGCAGCUCUGCAACCACUGGACCACAAUCAGGAGACAGUUUCCCUGCGGGAGGCCCGAAGCCAGAAAAGGAAGGCUGUCAGUCCGACACCACCAGAGGACGAGAUAGAUCAAGAAAUCAGAGAUAUGGAGAUGCUUCAUCAACAAGUACAGAGGAAGAAAGAAAAGAUGGCCAGGCUAGCUGAACUGCAGAGGCAGAUAGACGAAGCCUCUGAAGAAGUUCGUCAUCUUGCUCAGGAUGAGCAACACCGAAGGCCUCAGCACCAAGACCUUCAUCAGGAGGGUUUUCCCAACGAAGAUGACUGGUAUGACAAUUUCCAUCAUGGGAAUUUUGUUUUUGAUGAUGCUUCUCCUCUGUCCGCUGAGCUGCAGGCUACACCUUGGCCUCCGUCCUACAAGCCGCCUCAGCUUCCCGUAUUCGAUGGUCACUCAGACCCGAAGCAGUUUUUGAUGAGCUACGAAGCAACAGUAUCUUCGUAUGGUGGCAAUGCUUCAGUCAUGGCCAAAUCUUUCGUUAUGGCUGUCAGAAGUGUUGCUCAAACCUGGUAUUCCUCCCUUCGACCAGGAACGAUCACUUCAUGGCAGAAGCUGAAGGACUUGUUGUUAACUAGCUUUCAAGGAUUUCAGACGAAGCCGGUCACUGCUCAGGCUCUGUUCCAGUGCACCCAGGAUCACGAAGAAUACCUUCAGGCGUAUGUCCGAAGGUUCUUGCGUUUGAGGGCACAGGCACCAACGGUGCCCAAUGAAAUUGUCAUCGAGGCCAUGAUCAAGGGGCUUCGGCCAGGACCGUCAGCUCAGUACUUCGCCAGGAAGCCUCCUCAAACUUUGGAGAAGCUGCUCCAGAAGAUGGACGAGUACAUUCGGGCCGAUAAUGAUUUUCGCCAAAGAAGGGAGGAGGCUUUCAGGUUUUCUGAAAUGACCAGGGGCUUCGGAGGGAGGUUCUACCCGAGGCACGUGAGAUCAAUUCAUAACUCUACACAAAAAUGAUGAUAGAGGAAGCCAACAGCAAAGGCCACAAUGCUCCUCACAGGCUUCGGGGCAACAGCAAAGCUCCUUCCGACCACCAGCUCCAAGAGGCAGAGGCGCCAGGGGCUUUGGAGGAAGAUUUGGAGAUCAACCGAGAAGAAUCUUUUGCUUAUUCUGCGGUGAGAACAAAGGCCAUACUACCAGGAUGUGCCAUGUUACUAUUCAGAAGCAAAAGGAAAUAGCUGAAGCCGCAGCACAACAAGCUCAGCCGAAGCAGGUCAUGCAUACAACUUCGUAUCAUUCGCCCUACAUCCCAGAAUAUGUGGGCAACCAUCCUGCAGUUUCUGUUGCUUCGGCAAGUCAGCCUCAAGCUUCCUGGCAACAGCCUCCGCCUCCACCUCCGUUGCAACAAGGCCAGCAACCAGAAGGGAGCCAGUAUGCUCCACACCAGAGGGACUUCAGAGAGCAGUCCGAAGCUCGUACAGUCAAUAGCACUGUGCCAGAGUCAAAGCACAUCUAUUGACGAAUAUCCUACCUUAAUAGCAAUCUUUUUCAUUCAGUUUUAUUUUCUGUAAUAAAGGACAUUGUUUAGGUUUCAUGUAAUUAGUUUCGUUGAUUCCUACAAGAAAAAUAUGUUUUCCUCACAGGCUUAAAUUGAUUGAAGUUCAAAGACUUGUGAUAAAAAAAAGGACCUUCGAACUAUCGAAAAUUCUUCGAAGCAACAAAAAGUCGUUCUAAGGAACGCAGAGUAAGUUUGCCGAAGUCACAAAAAGUCGUUCCAAAGGGAGCGCAGUGUAAGUUUUCUGCUCCAAAGUCGUUCCAAAGGGAAUGCAGAGCAUACAGCGAAAAGUCAACGCUGAUACCGCCUAAGUAAAAGGCGAAGCGCGAAAAGUCAACGCGAAUACCGCUGAAAGUAAAAGGCGAAGAAGCUCCUAAGGGAGGCUUACAGCGAAAAAUAAACGCUGAUUCCGCUGAAGUAAAAGGCGAAGAAGCUCCUAAGGGAGGCUUAUAAAAGAUGUGUUUUAUUGCAGGGAUGCGUAUGUAUCUUCGGAAUAAACGUCAUCUCACAUAACAUAACAUCAUCGCAUCAUUUCGCAUAGCAUAAGCAUCAUACAUCAUUUUGCACAUGGCACAAGAGGUGGACACAUUAUUAAUCUACAGAAGAACGCUUUGAAAAAAGGGAGAAAUCAAAGUCACAAAAAGAUACAUCAUUGAUCUUCGGAAGUGUAUCUUCGGAAGUGUAGCUUCGGAAAAUAUCUUCACGAAGCCUGGAUAUUAAUCAUCAGAACAUUGGAUAUUGUUGUGACAAAGAAAAAUUCUUCUUCACGAAGCAUGAAAAGAAGGGAAGGUGUUUUUUCGUCAAAGACUCAAAAGUGGUACGUGUAAAGUUUCAUGCAUCGUAAAGAAUUGACUAACAAAAAUAGGUAUAUUACAUUUGGGGUUACAAAAUGUUACAGUAUAUUACAUUUCAGAAAGUUUUCACAAAAAUACUUAAUCUUCUCUCAAAACGACUUCUGCAGCCUCGUUCAGGAGCCGAUUGACGACUUCGUCCAUAAUAUCUUCAGCCAUCUUUUUAAUUUCGUCGUCUCCUUUCGGCUGAGGGCCCGAAGACGCUUUAGCACGAUCUGAAGUAAGACAGCAUGCGGCUACAUUGCUAUUACAAAUCGCAAACAAAUCUUAAAGCCUAAGAUUACAACACGAUAAAAACUAUUAGUUAAUACCUAAUUGACCUUCGGCCUCUGCGCUCUUUUCAGCAGCCUCAGCCACUUCUCUAGCAUCGUGAAUGCCCUUUUCACUUCUUCGAAUAAUUUCUCCGGCCAUUUCUCAGCCACCAUUAUCCCAGAUAUCGGUAAAACAUUUUCCACCAAUUAUACUAGCUUCGGCCGAAGGAUCUCUUGCAUCUUCAAAGGGCAAAGCAGCUUCGGAUUGUGCUAAAAUUUUUACAUGUUCGCAGCCCUUCUUCUCUAAGAUGGUGGCAAUCCCUCUGGCACCAGAGAAGGCACAUAUAUCUCCUCGGCUAUUUAAAAUUUCUUCGAAGGCUUCAGCUUCGUGGUCGAUCCAUUCGAUGACACCUUCGGGAUUGCUUCUCGAAAAGUUUUCCUCACUUGAGAAUGCGCCGACCUUGGCGAAGCUAGCCUUUAGCUUCUUAACACAAUCUAUAGAUUUAUUAUAGCAUCUCUUUUUGGACGAACGAAGCUCUUCAACAGUCACUUCUAGGUGAUCUGCCCAUUGAUCGCUGAGUUCACGCUUUGUUUCUUCAAGUAUGCGUUCUUCCUUGGCUCUGGCCAGUUGUUUCCGAAGAUCUUCAAUUUCGCGCUUCUGAGCUUCAGCUUGACCUUUAAAAGCAGCUUCGUCUUCCUUUAUUUUAUUUAUCAAUGAGUAUAAUAUUUUAUCUUUUUCGAGACCUUCGUUCCUCAGUUCAAUUACUUCGGAACGAAGGUUGCUCAGGGCUAUAGUACACCCUUCGUCUUCAGCAUCUUUCUGUGCCCUGAGGGCAUUGCUAAGUAUCAGGCCCUGCAAAGAGAAAUAUGUGUGCGUCAAUAGGUUUAAACAAACGAAAAAUACAAGGAUUUCAUUUCUCGCACCUUUAAGCUAUUGUAAGCCAGGCUGUCGGCCAGAUCGUUCUUCGACAGCACCGAGAGCCCGUCUUCUAAAGUUGGGAAUCCGAAGCUCUUGCUCAUCUCCCGACAGACAGAAAUUUCCUUGCUAUCGGGGAGACAAUACAAGAAGUCUUCUUCUCCACUGCCAUUGAAUAUUAACGCCCCCUUUGGAUAUUUCAGUUUUUGGGCGUAGUGCUGGGCCUCUUGCUCUUCUUUUUCUGAUAGUUUUUUCCCCGAAGCAUGGCGAACAAUAUAAUCACGAACUUUGGGGGAUGCUUCGGGGGCAAUGGCACCGGUUUCUUCAACAAAAGUUGGCUUUGUUAUUUUUUCUGCCUCACUUUCCAAGGAUUUUAUCUUUGCAGGCUCUGAGGGCCCAGCUUCGGCUUUAGUCUCUUGCCCUGAAGCUUUAGAUCCAGAAAUUUCAGUUGUUUCAGGAAUGACAGCAGCCCUCUUCGGAGGUGUGCUUGAAGAUUUGAUCGUUUCCAGUACAUCUAGCACAUUAGCCAUUCUCUUUCUUUUCGGAGUCACUGCUGGCACUUUCACUAUCUCAAUGUUUGCUGCAGGACUCAAAACUUCUGAUGUUUUGGAUCCCUCAGUUGAUUCUUUUACCUUUUCCAUUUUUUCUGUGGACGGCGCUUCGGCUUUCUCUUUCGUUUCUGAUAACAAAAUUUUUGAUUGUUCCAAUUCUAUCUUUGUUGGCACUUCGGCCGUUUCUGCGACUUCUGGCAGCAAGGUUGGCUCGGUUGGUUUUUCAGCUUCGGUGGCCGAAGAAGUUUCUCCGGUAAACUCAGGCACCGAAGCUGGUUCAAUAUAGCGCGGCCGAUGCGUAAGGACCUUUAUCUUCUUUCUUUUCGGUUCUGGCUCGCUAGGAGCAGUUGCAGCUUCUUCUUUUGCAGAGGUUGUGUUUUUUCUCUUCUGCCUUCGAAUGGGAUAGCAAUAGUCAGGGUAGACAAACCCGAUUGCAUCAAAUACCCGAUUCAGCCUCUUCUUUUUUCGGCCUCCGAAGGCUGCUGACAUUGCAGUAUCUUCGGCCUUCGAAUAGGUCCCAAGCAGCUCAUCACUUAAAUUUUCAAUGCUUUUUAACCAGUCAUCAUCUGGUUCAACGAAUUUAUCUCCAAACUUAAAAGUGUACUUCAACCUGAUAAGUCCACCUUCGUCGGCCUCUUUUAUGGUUUCUUGUGGCAUUUCCCAUUUCUCCGCAAGUGGCCAUACCCUGAAGGCGAUAUGCUCUUGUACUAAGUCCCUCGUUCCAAUAAAAGAACAGAUAACACCGAAGGCCCUCUGGCAUUCUUCGGCAGCCUCACUCAUUUCAACCUUCGGCCUCCGAAGGCCGAAGCUUUGCCAAAUAGGGCGCAUAAUUAUACCUUUGAUAUCUUCUCGCGCUGUCAGAUCAUUCUUCACAUAAAACCAUUCUGUCAUCCAGUCGCCGGGCCAUCUCUUCCGAAAGGUCGGCACGGGACAGCUUGACCCGGACCGAGAAACGAAAUUGUAGCAGCCAAAAUUAUUGUGAUACUGUUCCUUACCCCAAGGUUUUGUUUCGUAUGAUAAUUCGUGUAUAUUGCAGAAACUUUUUGCAUCAGGCUUCAGACCUUGGCUUCUCACGGCCCACACGAAGAUAUUUAGCCUUAUAAUUGCCUCAGGGGUAAGUUGAUGGAGAUAGACUUCGAAUAUUUUCAGUACCUCCACAACGAAGCUGCUCAAGGGAAAUCGCAGUCCAGCUUUCAAAAAGCUUCGGUACACUACGACUUCAUUCUCUUCAGGGUGUGGGCAAGUUUUUUCCCCUUCGUCGGCCCUCACAAUGGACAAAUCCCGGAAAUACCUUCCUCUCAUGUUGACAAGAUGAUUCUCUUUGAUAGUUGAUUUACCAUAAACUGAAUGGCUUGGUCGCCAGGGACGAUCUUCGGAGUCCUCACCACCACUGUCCACAUCAUAGCUGUCACUGUCACCAGUAUCUUCAGACAAACCUUCCAGAAUCUCCUUGGUAAUUUUUUCUGUAUUGGUCUUUGACAUCGCUAUAAGAAACCCCAAGUUUUUCUCUUCGUCAAGGCUCAGCUUCAUCUCAGCAACAGUCUUCUUAUCUUCAGACAUCUUCGGAGACGCUAAAAAACUAUUUUCAAAGCCGAAGCUUCAAAACUAAAAGCUUAGCAAAUCGCAGUGCACAAGAGCUAAAAAUUGAGUGAGCGGGAGUAGUUGGCCAGAAAGCGUGUCAAAUGAGUUUGCGGUAUGGCCGUAUUUAUACGCCAAGAGCGUUGAAAAUUCAAAGACCCCGCUUGUCAGUGAAUGUUGCUAUUCUAGCAAAGGGAAGGUGUUUUUUCGGACCUUCGGCGUAAAGCCUUCGUCCAUGUCGCAAUCUAAAUUCGUUAUUUUAAAACAAAUUAAUAUUGCGAGGGGCUACUGUUGGGGACCUUCGGCAUCCGAAGGUCCUCAAAAACGGGAUUUAACAGUAUUUCUGGAAGUAUAAUGUGUGAGCAGGUACCUUCGGACUCAAGUCGGUAUCACGGCAGGAGAAGACCCGGAUAAUACGAAGGUCUUGAUACAACGCCGAAGAUGUUAGCAGGAAAGCUUCGGCAUGGUUGCAGAAAAUAAAACCGACUUAAAGAUGAAAAGGCUAUUCAGACCUCGAUAGAUUAUAUAGAAUUAUUAUCAAAUGUAAAGGGCAUGAAUGUAAUUUUGUAUGGGCUGUGUCCCGUGCCUAUAAAUAGGUGAACAGAACCCCCGUACUGUUCACGCUGACUUGGCAUUCGCUUUUUGCGUCACGCUUGUACUGUCAUCUCCUUCCGAUUGAAGGUACACUUGUAAUUCAACGAUAUUUCUAUUUAUGUCUGAUAAUAAUAUAUAAUUGUUCAUAUUGUCUUUUAUAUUCUUUACAUUUCAUUCUUCGUCAUUGCUUAAUGAAUUUAUGAAGGUACGUCCUUCAUAACCUUCGUCCGUAAACCAUUAUAUCCUAAGGGAAAUAAUGUUUCGGAGGGCGAAGGACUUUAACGAUUAACAUUUUCUAUGUUGCCUUGUUCUUAACUCAUAGCACUUGAGAACAAGUCCCCAACACUGUGCCUCAUACAUGCUCUUUGGUAGAACGUGAUCCUCCGGAAGCAGGCUACCAAUAACUGUCAACAAGCAAUCGAAUGCGUCUUGACUCAUGUUAUACUGCGACUUGAACGCUAUUACAUGCCCAAUGGCAUCCAGUUGAGAAACCUUUGUCUGGCUGUGAAGGGGCUUCUGUGCCACGUCAAACAUGUCGUAGAACGCCUUUGCAAUCGGCUCUAGCUCGUCCUCCAUACAUCCUCCGACGAACUAUGCCUCAUGAUAGUCGUUCAACAUAUCUGCUACCCCCGCAUCAGCAUCAUAAUCCUCGACGUGUUGUCUCUGAAAGGGAAAUAAGCUUACACCUUUUCCUAAAUGAUUUUGGUGGUUGAAUUGCCCAACACAAAUAAUUGGACUAACUAGUUUGCUCUAGGUUAUAAGUUCUAUAGGUGCCAAAGGUUCAACACAUACCAAUAAAAAGUCCAAGAAAGGGUUCAAAUAAAAAGAGCAAAAGACAACCGAAGGCUGCCCUGGUCUGGCGCACUGGACUGUCCGAUGUGCCACCGGACAGUGUCCGGUGCACCAGAGAGAUUCACUCCAAACUUGCCACCUUCGGGAAUUUGGGAAGCCACUCCGCUAUAAUUCACCGGACUGUCCGGUGUGCCAAGCGGAGCAACGGUCGCCAACGCAAUGGUCGAGUUCAACGGUCGGCUGACAACGCUACAGUGCGCGGACUACGCGCGUAGAAGUCAGAGAAGGCGCAGAUGGCGCACCGGACAGUGAAGAGGACCUGUCUGGUGCACCAUCGGACUGUCCGGUGGCCCACAUGUCAGAAACUCCAACGGUCGAACCCUAACGGUUGGGUGACGUGGCUGGCGCACCGGACAGUGUCCGGUGGCGCACCGGACUGUCCGGUGCGCCCAUCGACAGCAGAGUUCCCCAACGACCACUUUGGUGGUUGGGGCUAUAAAUACCCCCCAACCACCACACUUCGAUGCAUCCAAGUUUUCAGCCAUCAAACCUCAUACAAGAGCUCUAGACUUCAUUCCAAGACACAAACAAAGAGAUCAAAUCCUCUCCCAAGUCUGGAAUCACUCCAAACAAAUUAGUGACUAGAGAGAGAGAGACUUUUGUGUUCUUUUAAGCUCUUGUGCUUGGAUCGCUUUUCUUCUUCCUCCUUUCUUGUUCUCAACUCAAUUGUAAUCAAAGCAAGAGACACCAAGUUGUGGUGGUCCUUGUAGUGGACUAAGUGUCCCGUUUGAUUGAAGAGAAAAGCUCACUCGGUCUAGGUGACCGUUUGAGAGAGGGAAAGGGUUGAAAGAGACCCGAUCUUUGUGACCACCUCAACGGGGAGUAGGUUUGCAAGAACCGAACCUCGGUAAAACAAAUCACCGUGUUCAUCUGUUUUAUUUCUUUGUUGAUUUGUUUUCCCUUUCUUUCGGACUUGAUUAUAUUUCUAACGCUAACCCUUGCUUGUAGUUGUGCUUAAACUUUAUAAAUUUCAGAUUUGCCUAUUCACCCCCCUCUAGGCGACUUUCAAUUGGUAUCAGAGCCCGGUACUUCAUUAGAGCCUAACCACUCGAUGUCAUGUCGGGAGCUCACGCCAAGAAGGAGAUGGUGACCGGCGAGAAGCCCGCCACAAGCCACGGGAAGGCUCCAUCGGGAGAGUCCGGCAACAAAAGGGAGGAAUCACCUCCCCACGUCAAGUCGCACCGGAGUGGUGACCAGAAGAAGAAAAUGAAGAAAGUGUUCUACUGUGAGACCGAUUCUUCGUCGCCAUCCACCUCCACGUCCGACGCGCCGUCCGUCACUUCUAAGCGCCAUGAGCGCAAGAAGUUUAGUAAGAUCUCCUUACGCUAUCCUCGUAUUUCCAAAUGCACUCCUUUACUUUCCGUCCCACUAGGCAAACCACCGGUUUUUGACGGUGAACAUUAUUGUAUGUGGAGUGAUAAAAUGAGGCACCAUCUAACCUCACUCCACGCUAGUAUUUGGGACAUUGUUGAGUUUGGUGCGCAGGAACCAUCCGUGGGGGAUGAAGGCUAUGAUUCGGAUGAGGUAGCCCAAAUCCAGCACUUCAACUCCCAAGCCACCACUAUACUCCUCGCCUCUCUAAGUCGAGAGGAGUAUAAUAAGGUGCAAGGGUUGAAGAGCGCCAAAGAGAUUUGGGACGUACUAAAGACCACACACGAAGGAGACGAGGUGACCAAGAUCACCAAGAGCGAAACGAUCGAGGGGGAGCUCGGUCGCUUCAUGCUUCAUCAAGGGGAGGAGCCACAAGCAAUGUACAACCGGCUCUAGACCUUGGUGAACCAAGUGCGCAACCUCAGGAGCACCAAAUGGGAUGACCAUGAAAUGGUCAAGGUUAUUCUAAGAUCACUUAUAUUUCUUAAUCCUACACAAGUUCAAUUAAUUCGUGGUGAUCCUAGAUACAAGAUAAUGUCUCCCGAGGAGGUUAUAGGAAAAUUUGUGAGCUUUGAAUUGAUGAUCAAAGGCUCCAAGAAAAUCAUCGAGCAAGGCGCCUCCUCCACACCCGAAAUGCAACUCGUCGCAUUCAAGGCAACAGAGGAGAAGAAAGAAGAGUCUACUUCAAGUAGACUUCCCAUCGACGCCUCCAAGCUCGACAACGAGGAAAUGGCGCUCAUCAUCAGGAGCUUUCGCCAAAUCCUCAAGCAAAGGAGGGGGAAGGACUACAAGCCCCGCUCCAAGAAAGUUUGCUACAAGUGUGGUAAGCCCGGACAUUUCAUUGCUAAAUGUCCAUUAUCAAGUGAUAGUGACAGGGGCGAUGACAAGAAGGGGAGAAGGAAGGAGAAGAAGAAAUAUUACAAGAAGAAGGGCGGCGAUGCCCAUGUAUGCCACGAGUGGGACUCCGAUGAGAGCUCCACCGACUCCUCCUCCGACGAGAACGCCGCAAACAUCGCCAUCAACAAGGGUCUUCUCCUUCCCAACGUCGAUCACAAGUGCCUCAUGGCAAAGGACGACAAAAAGAAGAAGGUAAAAUCUAGAGCUUCCACUAAAUAUGCAACAUCUAGUGAUGAGGCUAGCUCUAGUGAUGAUGAGGAUGAUUUGAUCACCCUUUUUGCCAACUUAAACAUUCAACAAAAAGACAAAUUGAAUGAAUCGAUUAGUGUUAUUCAUGAGAAGGAUGAACUCUUGGAUAGCCAAGAGGACUUCCUUAUUAAAGAAAAUAAGAAGCAUGUUAAAGUUAAAAAUGCUUAUGCUCAGGAGAUAGAAAAAUGUGAAAAAUUAACUAGUGAUCUAAGCACUUGCCAUGACACUAUUUUCAACCUUAGAUUUGAAAAUGACAAAUUGAUUGCUAAGGUUGAGAAAUUAAAUGUUAGUGAUGAUUCUCUUGUCAACCUUAGAAAUGAUAAUGCUAAUUUGAUUGCUAAGGUUGACAAAUUGAAUGCAUCUCUCUCUAGCCUUAAAAUUGAGAAUGAAAAAUUAAUUGCUAAGGCUAAAGAUUUAAAUGUUUGCAAUGUUUCUAUUUCCAAUCUUAGAGAUGAGAACACUAUUUUACAUGCUAAGAUUGUUGAAUUAAAUACUUGCAAACCCUCAACAUCUACCGUUGAACAUGUUACUAUUUGCACUAGAUGUAGAGAUGUUAAUAUUGAUGCUAUUCAUGAUCACAUUGCUAUGAUUAAACAACAAAAUGAUCAUAUAGCAAAAUUAGAUGCUAAAAUUGCCGAGCAUGAAUUAGAGAAUGAAAAAUUUAAAUUUGCUCGUAAUAUGCUUUAUGGUGGGAGACGCCCUGGCAUUAAGGAUGGCAUUGGCUUCCAACAGGGAGGCGAUGUCAAACUCAAUGCCCCUAAGAAAUUGUCCAACUUUGUUAAGGGCAAGGCUCCCAUGGUUUAGGAUAACGAGGGUUACAUUUUAUACCCUGACGGUUAUCCCGAACAUAAAAUUAGGAGAAUUCACUCUAGGAAGUCUCACUCUGGCUCUCAUCAUGCUUUUAUGAAUAAGAGUGAGGCAUCUAGUUCUAGGAAAUCCACCCAUGCUAAAUUGCCUAAGAAGAAAACUCCUAUAGCAUCAAACGAACCUAAUUUUUCAUUUAAGACUUUUGAUGCUUCUUAUGUGCUCACUAACAAAUCAGGCAAAAUAGUUGCCAAAUAUGUUGGGGCUAAACACAAGGGAUCAAAGACUUGUGUUUGGGUACCCAAGGUGCUUGUUUCUAAUGUGAAAGGACCCAAGACCAUUUGGGUACCUAAGAACAAGGCCUAAACUUGUUUUGUAGGUUUAUGCAUGCGGGGGCUCAAGUUUGAUCAUCGAUAGCGGGUGCACAAACCACAUGACUGGGGAGAAAAUAAUGUUCUCCUCCUAUGAGAAAAAUCAUGAUCCCCAAAGAGCUAUCACAUUCGGGGAUGGAAAUCAAGGUUUGGUCAAAGGACUUGGUAAAAUUGCUAUAUCCCCUGACCAUUCUAUUUCCAAUGUUUUUCUUGUAGAUUCUUUAGAUUACAACUUGCUUUCUGUUUCUCAAUUAUGCAAAAUGGGUUACAACUGUCUUUUUACGGAUAUAGGUGUUACUGUCUUUAGAAGAAGUGAUGAUUCUGUAGCAUUUAAGGGAGUGUUAGAGGGUUAGCUAUACUUAGUUGAUUUUAAUAGAGCUGAACUCGACACUUGCUUAAUUGCUAAGACUAACAUGGGUUGGCUCUGGCAUCGCCGACUUGCCCACGUUUAAAUGAAGAAUCUCCACAAACUUCUAAAGGGAGAACACAUUUUGGGACUAACAAAUGUUCAUUUUGAGAAAGACAGGGUUUGUAGCGCAUGUCAAGCAGGGGAAGCAAGUUGGUGUUCAUCAUCCACACAAGAACAUAAUGACGACCGACAGACCGCUUGAGCUACUCCACAUGGACCUAUUCGGCCCGAUAGCUUAUAUAAGCAUCAACGGGAGUAAGUAUUGUCUUGUAAUUGUGGAUGAUUAUUCUCGCUUCACUUGGGUGUUAUUUUUGCAGGAAAAAUCUCAAACCCAAGAGACCUUAAAGGGAUUCUUGAGAUGGGCUCAAAAUGAGUUCGGCUUAAGGAUCAAAAAGAUAAGAAGCGACAACGGGACGGAGUUCAAGAACUCUCAAAUAGAAGGCUUCCUUGAGGAUGAGGGCAUCAAGCAUGAGUUCUCUUCUCCCUACACACCACAACAAAAUGGUGUAGUGGAGAGGAAGAAUAGAACUCUACUUGACAUGGCGAGGACCAUGCUUGAUGAGUACAAGACUUCGGACCGGUUUUGGGCGGAAGCAGUCAACACCGCUUGCUACGCCAUCAACCGUCUCUACCUUUGCCGAAUACUCAAGAAGACAUCGUAUGAACUACUCACCGGUAAAAAGCCCAAUGUUUCAUAUUUUAGAGUCUUUGGUAGCAAAUGCUUUAUUCUUGUUAAAAGAGGUAGAAAAUCUAAAUUUGCUCCUAAGGCUGUAGAAGGCUUUUUACUUGGUUAUGAUUCAAACACAAGGGCAUAUAGAGUCUUUAACAAGUCCUCUGGACUAGUUGAGGUUACUUGUGACAUUGUGUUUGAUGAGACUAACGGCUCUCAAGUAGAGCAAGUUGAUCUUGAUGAGCUAGAUGAUGAAGAGGCUCCAUGCGUCGCGCUAAGGAACAUGUCCAUUGGGGAUGUGUGUCCUAAGGAAUCCGAAGAGCCUCCACAAGCACAAGAUCAACCAUCUUCCUCCAUGCAAGCAUCUCCACCAACUCAAGAUGAGGAUCAAGCUCAAGAGGAUGAAAAUGAAGAUCAAGAAGAUGAGCCACCUCAAGAGGAGGGCAAUGAUCAAGGGGGAGAUGCCAAUGAUCAAGACAAGGAAGAUGACGACAGUCCAAGACCACCACACCCAAGAGUCCACCAAGCAAUACAAAGAGAUCACCCCGUGAACUCCAUCCUCGGCGAUAUUCAUAAGGGGGUAACCACUCGAUCUCGUGUUGCUCAUUUUUGUGAACAUUACACCUUUGUAUCUUCUAUUGAGCCAUAUAGGGUGGAAGACACAUUAAGGGAUUCAGAUUGGGUGUUGGCGAUGCAAGAGGAACUCAACAACUUCACGAGGAAUGAGGUAUGACAUUUAGUUCCACGCCCUAAUCAAAAUGUUGUAGGAACCAAGUGGGUCUUCCGCAACAAGCAAGAUGAGCAUGGUGUGGUGACAAGGAACAAAGCCCGACUUGUGGCCAAGGGAUAAUCACAAGUCGAAGGUUUGGAUUUCGGUGAAACCUAUGCACCCGUAGCUAGGCUUGAGUCAAUUUGUAUAUUACUUGCCUAUGCUACUUACCAUGGCUUCAAGCUUUAUCAAAUGGACGUGAAAAGUGCCUUCCUCAAUGGACCAAUCAAGGAAGAAGUCUAUGUUGAGCAACCUCCCGACUUUGAAGAUAGUGAGUACCCUAACCAUGUGUAUAAACUCUCUAAGGCGCUUUAUGGGCUCAAGCAAGCCCCAAGAUCAUGGUAUGAAUGCCUAAGAGAUUUUCUUAUCGCUAAUGGCUUCAAAGUCGGAAAAGCCGAUCCUACUCUCUUUACUAAAACAAUUGCAAAUGAUUUGUUUGUAUGCCAAAUUUAUGUUGAUGAUAUUAUAUUUGGGUCUACUAACAAAUCUACAUUUGAAGAGUUUAGUAGAUAAUGGUACAAAAAUUCGAGAUGUCUAUGAUGGGGGAGUUGAAGUAUUUCUUAGGAUUUCAAGUGAAGCAACUCCAAGAGGGCAUCUUCAUCAGUCAAACGAAGUACAUUCAAGACAUACUCACCAAGUUUGGGAUGAAGGAUGCCAAGCCUAUCAAGACACCCAUGGGAACCAAUGGGCAUCUUGACCUCGACACGAGAGGUAAAUCCAUAGAUCAAAAGGUAUACCGGUCGAUGAUAGGAUCUUUACUCUAUUUAUGUGCAUCUCGACCGGAUAUUAUGCUUUUCAUAUGCAUGUGUGCAAGAUUCCAAGCCGAUCCUAAGGAAGUUCACCUUAGGGUCGUGAAAUGAAUCUUGAGAUAUUUAGUUCAUACUCCUAAGUUUGGCCUUUGGUACCCCAGGGGAUCCACAUUUGAUUUAAUAGGAUAUUUAGAUGCUGAUUGGGCAGGGUGUAAAAUUGAUAGAAAGAGCACAUCAGGGACUUGUUAGUUCUUGGGAAGAUCCCUGGUGUCAUAGGCUUCAAAGAAGCAAAAUUUUGUAUCUCUUUCUACCACCGAAGCCGAGUACAUUACCGCAGGCCAUUGUUGCGCGCAAUUGCUUUGGAUGAGGCAAACCCUUAGGGACUAUGGUUACAAAUUAACCAAAGUUCCGCUCCUAUGUGAUAAUGAGAGUGCAAUCCACAUGGUGGAUAAUCCCGUUGAGCACAACCGCACUAAGCACAUAGCCAUUCGGUAUCACUUUUUGAGGGAUCACCAACAAAAGGGGGAUAUCGAGAUUGUUUAUAUUAACACCAAAGAACAAUUAGCCGAUAUCUUUACCAAUGUUGGGGACUUGUUCUCAAAUGCUAUGAGUUAAGAACAAGGCAACACAAGAAAUGUUAAACGUUAAUGCCCUUCGUCCUUCGAGACAUUAUUUCCCUUAGGAUAUAAUGAUCUUCAGACGAAGGUCAUGAAGGACAUACCUUCAUCAUUGCAAUAUACGAUAAUAAAAGGAGAAUCAUAUAGAAUGUAAGAGACAACAUGAAUAAGUAUGUAAUAUUAUCAGCACAUUUCUAUUUUAUUAUCAUGGACAAAUAGAAAUGAUAUCAAAUUACAAAUGUACCUUCAGCUUGAUGGAAGGUAAAAGUACAAGUGUGACGCACGAUCAAAUACAAGUCAGCGUGAACAGUACGGGAGCACUGUUCAUCUAUUUAUAGGCACGGGACACAGCCCAUGUAAAAUUACACCCAUGCCUUUUACAUUUGCUAAUGACUCUAUAGUGAUCCAUCGAGGUCUAAAUGACCUUUUCCCUUUUAAGUCGGUUCCCUUUUCCGCUGUUAUGCCAAAGCUCCCUUGCGCGUAGCUUCGGCGCUACGUCAACCUUCGUAUUCUUUGUGCUUCUCACACUGUGGUUCUGAUCCGAGUCCGAAGGUACCUGUUCAUGUAUCAUACUCCAGAAAUAAUGUUAAAUCAUGUUUUUGAAGACCUUCGGAAGACGAAGGCCCCCAACAGUAGCCCCUCGCAAUAUUAAUUUGUUAGAAUAACGAAUUCAAAUUGCGAUAUGGACGAAGGCCUUAAGCCAAAAUUCUGAAAAAACACCUUCCCUUUGCUAGAAUAGCAACAGUCGAUGACAGACGGGGCCCUCCAAUUUGGAACGCACUGGGCGUAUAAAUAGGAACUCACCCCGAGCACAUUUGGUACGCUAUCUGCCGCCUGCUUUGCUUGCUCAAUUUUUUAGCUCUUGCCUACCAACGCUUGCUUGGUUUUUUAGACUUUCUAAGCUUCGGCUUUAAGGACACAUUUUCGCCAUUUCCGAAGAGAAGAUGUCUCAAGACAAAAAAGUUGUUGCUGAGACGAAGCUGAGCGAAGAGGAGAAGCUCCAUGAGGAGAAGACUGCUGGAUUUGUUGAAUCAAUAGCAAAGAAAAAUACAGAAAAGAUUACUAAGGAGAUUCUAGAAGGCUUAUCUGAAGAUACUGAUGACAGCGACAGUUAUGAUGCGGAAAGCGGAGGCGAAGACUCCGAAGAUCGGCCCUGGCGACCAAGCAUGCAGUCUUCGGGAAAUCAACCAUCAAACAGAGUCAUCUUGAUAAUAUGAGAGGAAGGUAUUUUCGAUAUUAUUUUUUUGUUCUUAUAUUAACCCAUUCAUUCUUUUCAUAUAGGGUUUAAUACUUAGCAACGCCUUAAGGGCGCAAAAGAAUGUCGAAGACGAGAGUUGCACUAUUGCUCUCAACAACCUUCAAACAGAGGUUAUCAAGCUGAGGAACGAAGCUUUGGAAAAAGAAAAAAUUCUACUUACAUUGGUGGACAAAGUAAAGGGGGAUGAAGCUAACUUCAAGGCUCAAUCUGAAAUCCAAAGGAAUGAGAUUGAAAACCUUCAAAAACAACUGGCCGAAGCCAAAUUGAAAUGCGCUAUUGCCGAAGCUGACCGAGUUGCCAGUGAGUACUAGAAAAAUUAUCUUGAAAAACAGUUGCAGAGCUUCGCUCAUCAAAAGAAAGAUGUUUUGAAAAAUCUGUGGAAUGCGUGAAAAAGAUAAAAACUAGCUUUGCCAACGUUGGCGCAUAUUCAAGCGAAGAUAACUUCAUACGGGGCGACCCCGAAGGCGUAAUCGAGUGGAUCAGCGGUGAGGCCGAAGCCUUUGAAGAGAUUUUGAGUGACCGCGGGGACGUCUGUGCCUUCUCUGGUGCGAGAGGAAUUGCAGCUAUUUUGGAGAAAGCAGGGUGCGAACAUGUUAAAACUUUGGCCCAGGCCGAAGCUGCCUUCUCCACCGAUGAUAUAAAGGACCCCUCGGCCGAAGCAAACUCAAUAGGUGGAAAAAAUUUCACUGAUAUCUGGGAAAACGGUGGCCGAGGGAUGGCCCAUGAAAUUAUAAAGAAAAACGAAAAAGAUAUUCACGACACUCGAGAGUCAAUAAAAGAAGCUGAAAAGGCUGCGGAGCUUGAGAGACGAAUAUGUAUUACUUAAUGGUUUUUAACUUUGUUGUUUAUUUUUGUGACUUUGAACUGAUUUAUGUUUUCUACCUUAGCUGAACUAUCUCCUCCCCCAGCGCCCUUAGAGUCAUUGGCCGACCCAGAGGCAAAGGAAUCAACAGAACUUAUUAACAUGGCCGAAACUAUUGUAGACGAAGUCGUUACCCAACUGCUGACCGAAUUUGCACAUAAAGUUUUGAAGGAAGAAGAGUAGCUAUUGUAAAAACAUUGCUAGAAUAUUAAUGUAACAUUUGCCGGACUAUGCUUGUAAUAUUUGGUGCUCCUAGGUUUUGAAUGUAAUAUAUGAAUGGUUUUGUAAUUCAUUUCUUUGCGAUGCAUGAAACUUUUAUGUACAUACCGUUUUUGAGCCUUCGGCGAAAAAACACCUUCCCUUCUUUUCAUGUUCGUAAAGAAGAGCUUUUAUGCUUCGUAAAAAAUCCUCCAAUCGUCGCAAAAACAUUAAUGCUUCGUCAACAACAGAUUUUUCCUCCACAUCAGAGCUGAUGAAGCUGUAUUUCUUCAAAACUUAUUUUGUGCCUUAGCACAAUUUCACUUUUUUCGAAGCAUUCUUCGAAGGUCAACAUUGUAUCCCCUUCUUGUGCCAUUGAUGCAAUAUGAUGUAUGAUGUUAUGUUAUGUGAAAUGAUGUGAUGAUGUUAUGUUAUGCAAAAUGAUGUUUAUGCCGAAGACACACACUCACACCCCCAUAGUGGAAUACACAAUCUCUUUGCCGCUUAUUUUUCGGCUUCACCGCUUAUUUUUCGGUGUAUCAGCGCUGACUUUUCACUGUAAGUUCUGCAUUCCCUUAGGAACGUCUUUUGAACUUCUUCACCUUCUAUUUCGGCGGUAUUCGCGUUGACUUUUCGCGCUUCGCCUUAUAUUUCGGCGGUAUUUGGCUCUGCAUUCCCUUUGGAAUGACUUUUGAGCAGAAAACUUACACUGCGCUCCCUUAGGAACGACUUUUUGUAGCUUCGGCAAACUUACGCUGCGUUCCUUAGAACGACUUUUUUGUGGCUUCGGUGAUACUUGUAAUGUGAUUUUUAGCCCCGCGUUCCCUUAGGAACGACUUUUGUGCUUCAGUGACUUUUUGAACUUCGUGAGUCUGUGGAGAAGAUAUAUUUCACUAUGGCAAGAACGAAGUUAUUACAAGAAAUCAAGAGAGCUAGGUUUUCAAUAAUUGUUCCUUAUUAAAAAGGAAGUGAUAAUGAAUGUAAAAACUGCUUCAGGGGUAGGAUAUCUCUCAAUAGAUAUGCUUCGAUUCUAGCACAGUACUGUUGGCUGUGCGAGCUUCGGACUCCUCCCUGAAAUCUCGUUGCUGAUGGGUCUGUUGGCUCCCUUCUGGCUGCUGGCCUCGUGAAUAUGCAGGUUGUAGUGGUGGCAGAGGUGGAGGCUGUGGCCAAGAUGCAUGUGGCUGGCUAGCCGAAGCAACAGAAGCUGCAGGAUGGUUACCCACAUACUCUGGUAUGUAGGGUGAGUGAUACGAAGCAGUGUGCAUGACCUGCUUCGGCUGGUUCUGCUGAGCUGCGGCUUCUGCUAAUUCCUUUUGUUUCUGAAUGGUGACAUGGCACAUCCUUGUAGUAUGGCCCUUGUCCUCACCACAGAAUAAGCAAUUUUCCUAGGUUGAUCCCCAAACCUUCCUCCGAAGCCCCUGGCACCUCUGCCUCUUGGAGUUGGCGGCCGAAAAUAGGUUUGUUGCUGCCCCGAAACUUGCGAGGAAUAUUGUGGCUUCUGUUGCUGACUUCCUCUGUCGUCAUUCUGGGUGGAGUGGAUUGAUCUGACAUGCCUUGGGUGGAUUCUUCCUCCGAAGCCCCUGGUCAUCUCAGAGAACCUGUAGGCUUCCUCCCUUCUUUGGCGAAAGUCAUUGUCAGCCCGGAUGUAUUCAUCCAUCUUUUGAAGCAGCUUCUCCAAAGUCUGUGGAGGCUUUCUAGCAAAAUACUGGGCAGUAGGUCCUGGAUGAAGCCCCUUGAUCAUGGCCUCAAUGACAAUUUCAUUGGGCACAGUAGGCACUUGUGCUCUCAGACGCAAGAACCUUCAGACGUAUGCCUGGAGAUACUCCUCAUGAUCUUGCGUGCAUUGAAACAGAGCCUGAGCUGUGACUGGCUUCGUCUGAAAGCCCUGGAAACUUGUCACCAGCAUGUCCUUGAGCUUCUGCCAUGAAGUGAUGGUCCCUGGCCGAAGAGAAGAAUACCACGUUUGAGCCACAUUCUUAACUGCCAUGACGAAGGACUUGGCCAUGACAGCUGCAUUGCCUCCGUAUGAAGAUAUAGUUGCUUCAUAACUCAUCAAAAACUGCUUCGGGUCUGAAUGCCCAUCAUACAUUGGAAGCUGAGGUGGCUUGUAUGAUGGGGGCCACGGGAUAGCCUGCAGUUCUGCUGCCAAGGGAGAAGCAUCAUCAAAAGUAAAGGUAUCAUGAUUAAAAUCAUCAUACCAUCCAUCGUCGUUGAACAAGCCCUCUUGAUGAAGCUCCCUGUGUUGGGGCCUUCGAUCUUGCUCGUCUUGAGCAAGGUGGCGUACUUCUUCAGUGGCUUCGUCAAUCUGCCUUUGAAGGUCAGCUUGUCGGGCCAUCUUCUCCUUCUUCUUUUGCACUUGCUGAUGAAGCAUCUCCAUGUUUCUGAUUUCUUGGUCCAACUCGUCCACCUGGGGUGUUGGACUAGUGGCCUUCCUCUUCUGGCUUCGGGCCUCUCGAAGAGAAAGGGUCUCCUGAUUUGGGUCCAGUGGCUGCAGAGCGGCAGCCCCUAGCGCUGAAACUUUCUUCGGUGGCAUGACGAAGGUCAAUGCUUGCCGAAGGUGGUCGAAAAGAGUUCACCCCACGGUGGGCGCCAAUGUUGGGGACUUGUUCUCAAAUGCUAUGAGUUAGGAACAAGGCAACAUAAGAAAUGUUAAACGUUAAUGCCCUUCGUCCUUCGAGACAUUAUUUCCCUUAGGAUAUAAUGAUCUUCAGACGAAGGUCAUGAAGGACAUACCUUCAUCAUUGCAAUAUACGAUAAUAAAAGGAGAAUCAUAUAGAAUGUAAGAGACAACAUGAAUAAGUAUGUAAUAUUAUCAGCACAUUUCUAUUUUAUUAUCAUGGACAAAUAGAAAUGAUAUCAAAUUACAAAUGUACCUUCAGCUUGAUGGAAGGUAAAAGUACAAGUGUGACACACGAUCAAAUACAAGUCAGCGUGAACAGUACGGGAGCACUGUUCAUCUAUUUAUAGGCACGGGACACAGCCCAUGUAAAAUUACACCCAUGCCCUUUACAUUUGCUAAUGACUCUAUAGUGAUCCAUCGAGGUCUAAAUGGCCUUUUCCCUUUUAAGUCAGUUCCCUUUUCCGCUGUUAUGCCGAAGCUCCCUUGUGCGUAGCUUCAGCGCUACGUCAACCUUCGUAUUCUUUGUGCUUCUCACACUGUGGUUCUGAUCCGAGUCCGAAGGUACCUGUUCAUGUAUCAUACUCCAGAAACAUUGUUAAAUCAUGUUUUUGAGGACCUUCGGAAGACGAAGGCCCCCGACAACCAAGCCACUAGAUGAGAAAACUUUUACCAAUCUUAGGCAUGAGCUAAACAUUCUAGAUUCUAGGAAUUUUGAUUGAUAUUUUGCACACAUAGCUUAUUUCAAUACCUUUGAUCAUAUCUCUUUCAUGUGCUAUGACUAAUGUGGUUUUCAAGUAUAUUUCAUGCUAAGUCAUAGAUUGAAAGGAAAAUGGAGUCUUCGGCGAAGAAAAGGCUUCCACUCCAUCGAAUUAUUCAUCCUUCGCCGACACUCCACAUCGCUCUCCAAUUUGGUAUAAUCUUCACUCCUACAUUAUUUACCAAAGGGGGAGAAAGUUUGAAAAAGGGCUUAUAUUUUCACUCACAAGUAUCCGUUUUUGGCGAUUCAUGCCAAAGGGGGAGAAAGUAUUAGCCCAAAGCAAAAGGACCGCACCACCACCAAUUUCAAAAAUGAAGUCUUUUAAAUUUGUACUAAAAGAAGGUUUUUCAAUUGGUAUCUUAUUUUUGAUAGAAUUUUCAAAUUGGUAUAACCCAUUUCAAAAUUAAUAUCUAAAACUCUCUUGAACAAUAAGAGGAGAAUUUCAUUAAGGGGGAGUUUUGUUUAGUCAAAGGAAAAGCAUUUGAAACAGGGGGAGAAAAUUUCAAAUCUUAAAAAUGCUUCUCAAAAUCUUACUCAUUUACCUUUGACUACUUGCAAAAAGACUUUGAAAAGAAUUUCCAAAAGAGUUUGCAAAAACAAAACAAGUGCUGCAAGCGUGGUCCAAAAUGUUAAAAUAGAAGAAAGCAUCCAUGCAUAUCUUAUAAAAUGUAUAUUGGUUUAAUUCCAAGUAACCUUUGCACUUUCAUUAUGCAAACUAGUUCAAUUCUGCAAUUAUAUAUUUGCUUUGGUUUGUGUUGGCAUCAAUCAUCAAAAAGGGGGAGAUUGAAAGGGAAAUAGGCUUACACCUUUUCCUAAAUGGUUUUGGUGGUUGAAUUGCCCAACGCAAAUAAUUGGACUAACUAGUUUGCUCUAGAUUAUAAGUUCUACAUGUGCCAGAGGUUCAACACAAACCAAUAAAAAGUCCAAGAAAGGGUUCAAAUAAAAAGAGCAAAAGACAACCGAAUGCUGCCCUGGUCUGGCGCACCGGACAGUGUCCGGUGCACCAGGGAGAUUCACUCCAAACUUGCCACCUUUGGGAAUUUGGGAAGCCACUCCGCUAUAAUUCACCGGACUGUCCGGUGUAGCACCGGACUGUCCAGUGUGCCAAGCGGAGCAACGGUCGUUAGCGCAACGGUCGAGUUGAACGGUCGGCUCACAACGCUACAGUGCGCGUACUGCGCGCGCAGAAGUUAGAGCAGGUGCAGAUGGCGCAUCGGACAGUGAACAGGACCUGUCCGGUGCACCACCGGACUAUCCGGUGGCCCACAUGUCAGAAGCUCCAACGGUCGAACCCUAACGGUUGGGUGACGUGGCUGGCGCACCGGACAGUGGCCGGUGGCGCACCGGACUGUCCGGUGCGCCCAUCGACAGUAGAGUUCCCCAACGGCCACUUUGGUGGUUGGGGCUAUAAAUACCCCCCAACCACCACACUUCAAUGCAUCCAAGUUUUCAGCCAUCAAACCUCAUACAAGAGCUCUAUACUUCAUUCCAAGACACAAACAAAGAGAUCAAAUCCUCUCCCAAGUCCGGAAUCACUUCAAACAAAUUAGUGACUAGAGAGAGAGACUUUUGUGUUCUUUUGAGCUCUUGCGCUUGGAUCGCUUUUCUUCUUCCUCCUUUCUUGUUCUCAACUCAAUUGUAAUCAAAGCAAGAGACACCAAGUUGUGGUGGUCCUUGUAGUGGACUAAGUGUCCUGUUUGAUUGAAGAGAAAAGCUCACUCAGUCUAGGUGACCGUUUGAGAGAGGGAAAGGGUUGAAAGAGACCCGGUCUUUGUGACCACCUCAACGGGGAGUAGGUUUGCAAGAACCGAACCUCGGUAAAACAAAUCAUCGUGUUCAUUCGUUUUAUUUCUUUGUUGAUUUGUUUUCCCUCUCUUUCGGACUCGAUUAUAUUUUUAACGCUAACCCCGACUUGUUGUUGUGCUUAAACUUUAUAAAUUUCAGAUUUGCCUAUUCACCCCCCCUUUAGGUGACUUUUAGUCUCAACACCUCCUCUCUCGUACGAUGCGCUUUACCAUGGAAGAUCCACCGAGUAUAGUCUGGCGUAAAUCUGAUCUUCCAAAUAUGUUCUACCAUGGCCUUCUUUGAUUUUCUUUUCCGGUUGGCACAUUUGCUGCACGGGCAUGGGACUAGACUCGCUCCUUUAGCAGCUUUGCCAUAUGCCCGUUCCACAAAAGCAUCGGUCUUUCUAAUCCAUUCAGGGGUGACAUCAUUCCUACUUACACGGCAUGUGUACAUCCACUCACGGUCUUCCAUCCUCUAACAUAUGUAACCGAGUAUAGUUUAAUAUAAACAUGUAAUGCAUGUACGCUAUGUUCCUACCUUAUAAUAGGUGAGUAUAGUUCUUAAUCUCACUCGCGGUUGCGUAGACGAAGUUAGUUUCCAUGCUCUACUUCGAUCCAAGACAGAGUUCCGGCAGCACCUCCCCGUUGUUCUCCGGAUACACGCCCUAGCAGGUAGAAUGUACUGUCCGGAGAUCAACAUGGAGGUGAAACCGAAACUCUGUCUCGGACCGGAGUAGAGCAUGGAAACUAAUACCAGGGCGACGGUGGAGUAGGGAUAGCGGGGCUGUGGCGGGUCGGUGCAGUGGCGACGUGUCGCAGUGCAGGUUCUAGUGUGGCGGCAAGGAAUACCUCUGCAAAAAAAAAUUAACACAAGUUUAUCAACAAAAAAAUCGGCAGGACUUCCCCUGCACGAGGAGGUUGCAAAAAACCAGCAAAUAAAACUAACAGCACGAUGGCUGACAUCCACACAUAUACUAGCAAAAAAUAGACUUGCGUGUGUUAUUUACAAUUGUGUUAGUUACACACAAUCUAUUGAUGCCAUAUUUGUUGUGUACUAGCGAUUGGCAAGAAGAAUCAACUUUUAGGCACUAAAACAUCUAGUGGGUUCAAAUUAAAGAACUUCUUCUAUUAAUUACAGAACCACCCCAUCGGCCGACCAGGAUCCAAAUUAAAGAACUUCUUCUUCUAUUAAUUAUAGUAUAUUAUAAUUACCAAGUCUCUUCUUAUAUUUACAUGUUCAUUUGCUUGCUUCUUGCAUAACAUAACGGCGAUCGAUGAUGACCAUCGUUAGUUUUAGUCCUACGUGUAUUUGAUUCAAUCCCUCCAUGUUCAUAGUAUAAAUUCAACCAAACCUAAAUAAGUUUCAGUCAGCUUGAUCUUAAAAUUGCAUCAUACACACACAUACAUAGUCUUACUAGAAGUAAGCAAUUUCUUUUAAACUAAUUUCCAGCCAACAUUGAUGAAUGAACUAGAAUGUGGCUAUAACCGAGACCUGUGUGGGUGGUGCUGGAGAUGGGGACGUUGGGCCGAGGCUCACCGGCGUCGAGGCCUGUCCGAAGAUGGCCGACCGCCAGGCCGGGGACGGGGCUCGUUGGAGAUGGCCGGGUCGAGCGACGGUGGGGACGUCGGAGGCAGGGAGGAUGGCCGGCACGGUGUCCGGAGCCGGAGGGGAUGACCGGAGAGGAGGAUGGUCGGCGCUUGCUCCGAUGGCGUUGGCGGCGAGUGGCGUUGGCGGAGGGGACGACUGGUUAGGGCUAUGUACACAGACUUUGCCGAGUGCCAUAUCACGGGCACUCGGCAAAGAUUUUUUUUAAAUUUAAAAAUAAACUUUGCCGAGUGUCACAGAUCACUGACAGGCACUUGGCAAAGAUUGUUUUAAUUUUUUUAAAAAAACUUUACAGAGUGUCCCACGGCAGGCACUCGACAAAGAAUGCUUUACUGACUGCCUUAUUUUGACACUCGACAAAGAAUUCUUUGCCAAGUGCCCGAUAAAAAGCACUUGGCAAAGCACCGAGCACUCGGCAAAGAGCCGGAUUCCGGUGUGGUUGUUUCAUGGAAGUUGUAAGUAGACCAUCUUAACAAGGUCAACAAUAGAAGUACAACUCACAACAUUAGAUACUGCCAAAGUUAAUGUUGAGAGGCUUCGUGAACUCCUUAUGGAUUUACUAGUAGUUGAAAAACCAAUACUGGUUAUCUAUAUGAGCUAUAAUAAUUAAACAUUGGUAAUCAAAGUGAACAAUUCUUAGGUUAACAUGAAGACUACAAAGCAUGUCAAGAACGGUUGAAACUGUUAAAACACUAAGAAACUCUAGAUUAAUUGUGUUGGACUAUGUCCAUACUUCUAAGAAUUUGGUAUGCCAGUUUAUAGAAGAUUUGUCACAUAAUGUGAUAGAUGGUGCAUCGAGAAAGAUGGACUUGAGACCCACUUAAUGCCAUUCCAUAGUAGUAGCAUUUUCUAUGUGAUUGGAGAUCUCAUGAAGUAAAAUGGUGAAAUAAGCUAGAGAAUGACUGAUGGAGAGACUCCUUAAAUAAAAUCUAGGUAAUUUCAUAUGAACAUUUCUCCUUCGAUGUACGAUAGGCUAACUAAAAUCUUAAUAUGAUUUGAGUGACAUAUCUAAGCAGGGAUGUUAUCUUAUAGAACAUCCUAUAAGGAACACACCUAUAUGACUUUGACUACUAAUCACAGUCUAUGAUAUGUGGGAAAUAUUUUUUUACUCAUGAAAGGCCUCGAAGUUUGACUUAUAUGCUUCAAACCAAUGGAUAACUGAUUGAAUCUGUUUCAGACAGCAGCAUAGUUAACUUCAAAAUUCUAUAUCUCCCAAACUUCUCAACCAAAAAUUAUUAAAUUAUGCUGACAGUAAGAACUUUUAUCCCUCUACAAAAGUCUCCAUAGUUGGAAGAGCCAAUUCGGCCAUUUACUAGAUGAAACCUACCAGUUAACAGACCCGCUCAUUUUUGUCAGGCAAACAAGAACCCUUAUAUAUCAAAGAGUAGUGGAUUUGAAUUUGUCUAAUAUGAAGUUUAUGGGCUUGGAUCAUUUAAAGUAUUUUAUAAUUCUGAAAGACAAGAUUAAACUAACUAUGUAUGAUCCUUUAGCACCGUACAGAUGGUCGAUGGGACAGUUACAUGGUUUAUAUAGAUGGACCUAUCUAUAUUCCUUCAGUGGUUGAGAACAAGGUAAAGGUGUGUCACACUCACGCGUGCGCCGCCUCCGCCGAGACGAGGCAUGGCGUUGCAGGGUGAGGCAUGGCAUGGUGCAGCACGAUCGCAGUCAUGGUCGUGGCACAGUGUAGCACUGUUGUGGAUAGAUAGAUAAACUAUUGUUGUAGUUAGAGUGCAUGAGUUUUUGAAUGCAACACUAGAAUUUUCACAAUUUAACUUAAUUAAGAAGUUAUAUCUUGAUGACACAGAGUUACCUGACCAUUGAUCUCACAUGCCCUUUUAGCUCUCUCGUACUCUAGACUUACCCUGACUAUUUAGGUCUCCUGACUCGCCAAUAUAAACACCAUCCUAUCAUUUGCUGUCGAAUACUUCUGUGUCACAACUCAACUGUCAGAUGAGUACUCCAUUACAGCACUGAGCAGGCCUCCGAAAUGAAUAUCUACUCAGAUGAAGGACGACAAUCGUGUUCUAGGGAAAUAUCAGCGACACAACUCCUUACUUCCUCCGCUUCUUCCUAGUGUUUUUUGUUGUGAUUGAGUCGACAUAGCAACAACACUGCACUAUUACAACCAGUACGACUAUAUCAACUAGCAAUGUCUUCCUUAUAUGUUACUAUUUAUUUUGCUCAUAUUCAUUAUGUUUAAAUCACAUAGGCGCCUUUAUGUUGGCAUCAAAAAAUCAGUAUCAACUUUAUAGAUUAAAAUGAAACUAAAAGUACCUAAAUUUCUAUCGGUGGGGAUCGAGUGAUUCUUUAAACCGAUUAUUACACAAGUUAACCACACUAAAAUUAACAAUGGUGAAUCGUGCCAUGAUUUUUUUCUAGUGGAAAAUAGCCAAACCAAGCAACACAUAUGUGGCUAUCGUUACACAUGUGUAAAGGUAUUGCAUCACACCAUUGUCACCCAUGUAUGUGGACAAUACCGAGAGGAAAAACCACUUAUUUAUUGUAUUUUAUCAAGUUUGUCUUGCUUACGUAUAAAUUAUAACCCAACAAAGUAAUCACUAAAUGUCAAAACCAACUAGAUACCAUGUCAUCUCUACCUUAUCUUACUAAUAUUCUUUUUGCAAAAUCCAAAAUUAAUCUUGCACAAGCACAAGGACUGAGAUGUGUAUAAAUAUCUCUUAAAUUAGUAGCUAAUAUAUCGCACAUAUUAUUGAGACCAACUAGCAACAUAGAAAGCACAAUAGUGUACCAACAAUGGCAGCCAAAAUAUUUUGCCUCCUUAUGCUCCUUGGUCUUUCUGCAAGUGCUGCUACGGCGACCAUUUUCCCGCAAUGCUCGCAAGCUCCUAUAGCUUCCCUUCUUCCCCCGUACCUCUCACCAGCGGUGUCUUCGGUAUGUGAAAACCCAAUUCUUCAACCCUACAGGAUCCAACAGGCAAUCGCAGCUGGCAUCUUACCUUUAUCACCCUUGUUCCUCCAACAAUCAUCAGCCCUAUUACAACAGUUACCUUUGGUGCAUUUAUUGGCACAAAACAUCAGGGCACAACAACUACAACAACUUGUGCUAGCAAACCUUGCUGCCUACUCUCAGCAACAGCAGUUUCUUCCAUUCAACCAACUAGGUUCAUUGAACUCUGCUUCUUAUUUGCAACAACAACAACUACCAUUCAGCCAGCUACCUGCUGCCUACCCCCAGCAAUUUCUUCCAUUCAACCAACUAGCAGCAUUGAACUCUCCUGCUUAUUUACAGCAGCAACAACUACUACCAUUCAGCCAGCUAGCUGGUGUGAGCCCUGCUACCUUCUUGACACAACCACAGUUGUUGCCGUUCUACCAGCACGUUGCGCCUAACGCUGGCACCCUCUUACAACUGCAACAAUUGCUGCCAUUCAACCAACUUGCUUUGACAAACCCAGCAGUGUUCUACCAACAACCCAUCAUUGGUGGUGCCCUCUUUUAGAUUUCUUAUGAGUUAUAGUUCAAUAAUAAAGUUUUUUAUCUGAUGUUUGUGGCUUCCCAGAAAUAAGAAAGUACAUUUCUAGAUUCUUAUGUGCUUCUAGUCUUCAAAUGUGGUUGAUAGUUAUUGUUGGGGACUUGUUCUCAAAUGCUAAGAGUUAAGAACAAGGCAACAUAAAAAUGUUAAAUGCUAAAGUCCUUCGUCCUUCGAAGCAUUAUUUCCCUUAGGAUAUAAUGAAUUUCGGACGAAGGCUAUGAAGGACAUACCUUCAUAAGCACAACGAAUGAUGAAGAAGAAUUCAUAUAAAUUAUGAGAUAUAACAUAAACAUUUAAACAUUAUUAUUAACUCAUUUCUAUUGACUUGUCAGGGAAAAAUAGAAAUGAUAAUAAAUUACAAAUAUACCUUCGGCUUGAGAGAAGGUAAAGGUACAAGCGUGAGGCAAAAGCAAAUGCCAAGUCAGCGUGAACAGUACGGGAACACUGUUCAUCUAUUUAUAGGCACGGGACGCAGCCCAUGCAAAAUUACAUCCAGGCCCUUUGCUUUUGACAAUAACUCUAUAGUAAUCUAUCUGGGUCUAGAUAGUCUUUUCCUCUUUAAGUCGGUUUCCUCUUUUCUGCCAUCAUACCGAAGCUCCCUUGCGCACAGCUUCGGCUCUGCUCCAUCCUUCGUAUUGUUUCCGUGCUUCUUCAUACCGUGGGCUCUUGUUCGAAGAUCCCUAUCCACACAUUAUACUCCAGAGGCAUUGUUAAAUCAUGUUUUUGAGGACCUUCGGAAGUCGAAGGCCCCCAACAGUAGCCCCUCGCAAUAUUAAUUUAUUAGAAUGAUAAAUUUAGAUCGCGACAUGGACGAAGGCCUUAAGCCGAAGGUCCGAAAAAACACCUUCCCUUUGCUAGAAUAGCAACAAUCAAUGACAAGCGGGGCCCUUUCCCUUGCAACACACUAGGCGUAUAAAUAAGAGCAUACCGCGAGCGGAUUUGGCACGCUUUUUGCCAUCUGCUCUUGCUCACCCAACUUUUAGCCCUUGCACACCAACACCUGCUUGGCCUUUUUUUAAAAAAAUUUAAGCUUCGGUUUCGAGAGCACUUUCUCAGCAUUUUCGAAGAUGUCUGAAGAUAAGAAAGUUGUCGCUGAGUCGAAGCUGAGACUUUCUGAGGAGAUGAAUCUCGGCUUUCUUGAAUCAAUAGCGAAGACAAAUACAGAGAAGAUUACUAGGGAGAUUUUAGAAGGUUUAUCUGAAGACACUGGUGACAGUGACAGUUAUGAUGUGGAAAGUGGUGGUGAAGAUUCCGAAGAUCGACCCUGGUGACCAAGCCAUGCAGUUUUUGGAAAAUCAAGCAUUAAACUAAGCCAUCUUGUUAAUAUGAGGGGCAGAUAUUUUCGGGAUUUAUCUAUUGUGAGGGCUGAUGAAGGAGAAAAAACUUGUCCUACUCCUGAGGAAAAUGAAGUCGUGAUAUUCCGAAGCUUCUUCAAGGCUGGGCUUCGGUUUCCUUUAAGCGGUUUCGUGGUUGAAGUUUUGAAGAUUUUUGAAAUCUACCUCCAUCAAAUUACUCCUGAAGCAAUCAUAAGGAUGGGAAUCUUCGUAUGGGCUGUGAAGAGCCAAGGUUUGGAGCCGAAUGCAAAAAGUUUCUGCAAUAUGCAUGAGCUAUUAUACGAGACGAAACCUUGGGGUAAAGAGAAAUAUCAUAACAAUUUUGGCUGCUACAGCUUCGGCGCCCGCUCUGGGUCAAGCUGUCCCGUGCCAACUUUUUGGAAGAGAUGGCCCGGGGACUCGAUGAAGGAAUGGUGUUAUGUAAAAAACGACUUGAAAACGCGAGAAGGUAUUAAAGAUAUCAUCAUGCGCCCCAUCUGGCAGCGUUUCGGCCUUCGGAAACCGAAGGUGGAUAUUGACGAAGCAACCGAAGAAUGCCAGAGGGCCUUCGGCGUAGUUUGCUCUUUCAUCGGGACAAGGGAUUUGAUCCAGGAACAUAUUUCCUUCAGAGUAUGGCCACUUGUAGAAAAGUGGGAAAUGCCGAAGGAAACCAUCAGCAAACCUGAUGAAGUGGACUAGUUAGGUUAAAAUAUACCUUCAGAUAUGGAGAUAAGUUUGUGGAGCCAGAUGAUGACUGGCUGAAAUGUAUUGAGGCCACAAGCGAUGAACUGCUUGGGCCAUAUUCGAAGACAGAAGAUACUGCACUGUCCGCGGCCUUCGGAGGUCGGAAGAAGAGACUCAACCGAGUGUUUGAUGCCAUUGGGUUCGUCUAUCCUGACUACCGUUACCCAACACAGGGUCAGAAAGGGAAAGAUACGACUUCUGUGAAGAAAGUUGCUUCAGCCGCUCCUAGUGAGCCGGCGCCGAAGAGGAAAAAGAUGAAGGUUCUUACGCACCGGCCACGCUAUAUUGAACCGGCCACAGUGCCUGAGUUUGUCGGUGAGACCUCUUCGGCCACCGAAGCCAAGGAGCCGACUCUCCUGCCGAAUAUUGAAGAGCCGGCCAAAAUGCCGGCAAUGGAAAAAAUAGAAGAACCGAGGGCUGAAGAGACAAAGACAUCGGAAAAGAAUGGUUAACGUGCUAAUGCCGAAUAUUGAAGUCCUUCAGCAAGAAUCGAGGUGCUAAUGCCAAUGCCGAUGGCACAAAAAGACCUUACGACAACCCCCAAGAGGAAAAGAAUGGUUAACGUGCUAGAUGUACUGGAAACGAUAAAAUCUUCAAGCUCUACUCCGAAGAUAGCUACUGAAGUUCCAAAGACACAAACUGAGGCCAAAGCUGCCAAAAGUCAAGCGGAAACUGAAACUGGGCUUUCAGAGCCUACCAAGAGGGAAUUCUUGGAAAUUGAAAAAGAAACGGAAAAAGAAUCUGCAGAAGAAACUUUUUCUGAGAAAAUCGUCACACAUAUUCCCGAAGCAUCUUCUGAAGCUUCUGACUAUGUAUUACGUCAUGCUUCGGGUAAAAAUCUGAGCGAAAAAGAAAAAAGAGAAGCUCAAUUCUAUGCGCAAAAAUUGAAAUAUCCAAAAGGGGCGCUGAUAUUCAACGGCAGCGGAGAAGAAGACUUCUUGUAUUGUCUCCCUCAUAGCAAGGAGAUUUCUGUCUGUCGGGAGAUGAGCAAAAGCUUCGGAUUCCCAACAUUAGAAGACGGGCUCUUGGUGUUGUCAAAGGACGAGCUAGCCGACAGCUUAGCGUAUAAUAGUUUAAAGGUGAAGAAAAUGAGAUCUUUGUAUUAUUUCUUGAAACCAAAAUUUUUCAUUUGCUUAAACUUAUUAACGCAUUUUUUUACAGGGUCUUAUACUUAGCAAUGCCCUCAGGGCACAAAAGAAUGACGAAGACGAAGGGUGCGCCAUAGCCCUGAGCAACCUUCGUUCCGAAGUAAUUGAUCUAAGGAACGAAGGUCUCGAAAAAGAUAAAAUAUUACAUUCGUUGGUGAAUAAAAUAAAAGAAGAUGAAGCUACUUUCAAAGCUCAAGCUGAGGCUCAGAAGCACGAAAUUGAGAAUCUUCGGAAACAACUAGCCAGAGCUACAGAAGAAUACACAAUUGAAGAAACAAAACGAGAAAUUAGUGAACAAUGGGCAAAUCAUUUAGAAAAAAACGUUGAAGAGCUUCGUGCGUCCAAGAAAAGGUGUUAUGAAAAAUCUAUAGAAUGUGUUAAGAAAAUAAGAACCAGCUUCACCAACGUUGGCGCGUUUUCAAGUGAAGAAAAUUUCAUGAGGGGUGACCCCGAAAGCCCAAUUGGAUGGAUCAGCCACGAAGCUGAAGCUUUUGAAUAGCCGUGGAGACAUAUGUGCCUUCUCGGGUGCCAGGGGGAUUGCCGCUGUUUUGGAGAAGAAAGGUUGCGAUCACGUGAAAUCCCUGGCACAGACCGAAGCCGUUUUAUCCUCUGAAGACAUAAAAGACCCUUCGGCCGAGGCGAGUUUGGUUGGUGGGAAAUUUUUCACCGACAUCUGGGAAAACGGUGGCCGGGAGAUGGCUCAAGAAAUUAUACGGAGAAGCGAGAAUGGUAUACAUGACGCUAGAAAAGUAGCAGAGGCCGCUGAGAAAAGUGUGGAUCUCGAAGGGCGAAUAGGUAUUAACUAGUAAUUUUUGGCUUUUUGUUGUAACCUUUUGAUUUUGAACUUGUUUACACUUUGUAACAUGGUCGCACCUUCUCCUCCCUCAGAGCCUGCCGAGCCAUCGACAGACCCCCACGUAAAGGGGGAUGACGAGAUUAGAAGAAUGGCUGAAGCUAUCAUGGACAAAGUUGUUGAUCAAUUACUAAACGAAGCUGCAGAAAUAGUUCUAAGGGAAGAUUAGAUGUUAUUGUAAAAACAUUUGGAAUGUAAUAUUUGUUGAACAAUAUGUGUAAUAUUUUGUAACUUUGAAUGUAAUAUAUAAUCUAUUUGUGGUUCAAUUCUUUACGAUGCAUGAAACUUUACAUACAUACCGUUUUUGAGCCUUCGGCGAAAAAACACCUUCCCUUCUUUUCAUGCUUCGUAAAUAAUAUCCGUAUAUCAUAAAAACAUCCAAUUUUCGUAAAAUCAGUAACCAAUAGAUCUUUUUAUUUCAUAAAAACAUCCAAUCUUCGUAAAAUCAGUAACCAAUCUUCGUAAAGGCAUGCUUCUUCAAUAAUUAUUUUUGUGCCUUGGCACUGUUUCUUCGAAACAAUCUCCGAAUAUCAACAUUGAAACCCCCUUCUUGCGUCAUUGAUGCAAUAUGAUGUAUGAUGUUAUGCUAUGCAAAUGAUGUGAUGAUGUGAUGUUAUGCAAAAUGAUAUUUGCCGAAGAUCAACGUUUAUUUUUCACUGCAAGCCUCCCUUAGGAGCUUCUUCGCCUUUUACUUCAGCGGAAUCAGCAUUUAUUUUUCGCUGUAAGCCUCCCUUAGGAGCUUCUUCGCCUUUUACUUUCAGCGGAAUCAGCGUUUAUUUUUUGCUGUAAGCCUCCCUUAGGAGCUUCUUCGCCUUUUACUUUCAGCGGAAUCAGCGUUUAUUUUUCGCUGUAAGCUCUGCAUUCCCUUCGGAACGACUUUUGAGCAGAAAACUUACGCUGCGCUCCCUUAGGAACGACUUUUUGUUAUUUCGGAGAUUCUCCUUGUAACCAUAAAUUCUUAUGCUUCGGCAACUCUGUUAUUUUGUGGAGAAGGUAUAUUUUUACUGUGGCGAAAACGAAGCUAUUACAAGAAAUUGAAAACGACAAAAAGCACUUAGGCUUUCAAUAAUUGUUCCUUAUUAAAAAGAAAAUGAUACUGAAUGUAAAAACUACUGCCGAGGUAGGAUAUUUGUUAGUAAAUAUGCUUCGAUUCUGGCACAGUACUAUUGACUGUGCGAGCUUCGGACUCUUCUCUAAAGUCCCGUUGAAGGUGGAUAUGCUGACUCCCUUCUGGCUGCUGGCUUUGUUGCAUUGGUGGUGGAGGUGGAGGCUGCUGCCAAGAUGCCUGAGGUUGGCUUGCCGAAGCAACAGAAGCUGCAGGGUGGUUGCCUACAUACUCUGGAAUGUAAGGCGAAUGGUAUGAAGCAGUGUGCAUAACUUGCUUCGGCUGGCUCUGUUGGGCUGCAGCUUCUGCUAUCUCCUUUUGUUUCUGGAUGGUAACAUGGCACAUCCUGGUGGUAUGGCCCUUGUCCUCUCCACAGAAUAGGCAAUAGAUCUUCCUGGGCUGAUCCCCAAAUCUUCCUCCGAAGCCCCUGGCACCUCUACCCCUUGGAGCUGGAGGCCGAGGAUAGCUCUGCUGCUGCCCCGAAGCCUGGGAGGAAUAUUGCGGCCUCUGCUGCUGGCUUCCCCUGUCAUCAUUCUGAGUGUUAUGAAUCGAUCUGACAUGUCUAGGGUGAACUCUCCCUCCGAAGCCACUGGCUAUUUUGGAGAACCUGUAAGCUUCCUCCCUUCUCUAUCGGAAGUCGUUGUCAGCGCGGAUGUAUUCGUCCAUCUUCUGAAGCAGUUUCUCCAGAGUCUGAGGGGGCUUCCUGGCAAAGUACUGGGCUGAAGGUCCUGGCCGAAGCCCCUUAAUCAUGGCCUCAAUGACAAUUUCAUUGGGCACUGUUGGUGCUUGUGCCCUCAGGCGUAAGAACCUUCGGACAUACGCCUGAAGAUAUUCUCCGUGGUCUUGGGUGCACUGGAAUAAGUCUUGAGCGGUGACCGGCUUCGUUUGAAACCCUUAGAAACUGGUGAUCAGCAUAUCCUUCAGCUUCUGCCAUGAUGUGAUUGUUCCUGGCCGAAGGGAGGAGUACCAGGUUUGUGCAACAUUCUUGACGGCCAUGACGAAAGACUUCGCCAUGACUGCAAUAUUGCCACCAUAGGAAGAUAUCGUUGCUUCGUAGCUCAUCAGAAACUGCUUCAGAUCUGAGUGUCCGUUGUACAUGGGGAGUUGAGGUGGCUUGUAAGACGGAGGCCAAGGUGUAGCCUGCAGUUCUGGUGAUAGAGGAGAAGCAUCGUCAAAAGCAAAAUUUCCAUGAUGGAAAUCCUCAUACCAGUCAUCCUCGUUGACGAAGCCCUCUUGGUGGAGCUCUCUGUACUGGGGCCUCCGGUUCUAUUCAUCUUGCGUAAGAUGACGAACCUCUUUAGAGGCUUUGUCUAUCUGCCUUUGUAGGUCAGCUAGCCGGGCCAUCUUUUCUUUCUUCUUUUGCACUUGUUGAUGCAGCAUUUCCAUGUUCCUGAUUUCUUGGUCCAAAUCGUCCUCCUGAGGCGUUGGACUGGUGGCCUUCCUCUUCUGGCUUCGGGCUUCCCGAAGAGAGAGAGUCUCCUGGUUCGUGUCCAGCGGCUGCAGAGCCGCAGCCCCUGUUGCUGAAGCUUUCUUUGGCGGCAUGACAAAGGUCGAUGCUUGCCGAAGGUGUUCGAAACUCAAAAAGUGGAAGUGAGUUCACCGGAGGUGGGCACUAAUGUUGGGGACUUGUUCUCAAAUGCUAAGAGUUAAGAACAAGGAAACAUAAAAAUGUUAAAUGCUAAAGUCCUUAGUCCUUCGAAGCAUUAUUUCCCUUAGGAUAUAAUGAAUUUCGGACGAAGGUUAUGAAGGACAUACCUUCAUAAGCACAACGAAUGAUGAAGAAGAAUUCAUAUAAAUUAUGAGAUAUAACAUAAACAUUUAAACAUUAUUAUUAACUCAUUUCUAUUGACUUGUCAGGGAAAAAUAGAAAUGAUAAUAAAUUACAAAUAUACCUUCGGCUUGAGAGAAGGUAAAGGUACAAGCGUGAGGCAAAAGCAAAUGCCAAGUCAGCGUGAAUAGUACGGGAACACUGUUCAUCUAUUUAUAGGCACGGGACGCAGCCCAUGCAAAAUUACAUCCAGGCCCUUUGCUUUUGACAAUAACUCUAUAGUAAUCUAUCUGGGUCUAGAUAGUCUUUUCCUCUUUAAGUCGGUUUCCUCUUUUCUGCCAUCAUGCCGAAGCUCCCUUGCGCACAACUUCUGCUCUGCUCCAUCCUUCGUAUUGUUUCCGUGCUUCUUCAUACCAUGGGCUCUUGUUCGAAGAUCCCUGUCCACACAUUAUACUCCAGAGGCAUUGCUAAAUCAUGUUUUUGAGGACCUUCGGAAGCCGAAGGCCCCCAACAGUUAUUUUGCUCUAAGAUCGGCAGUAAUGAAGUAUAAAUCAUCGUUGUGGUGUGCUACUCGGUUAAUUGAGCAUUAACACACACAAACAUGACGAGGAUGGUAUAAUCUCCAAAAAUGUGUACUUUGUUAGGUGGGACCCUAUAGCCUUGCAGAAUGUGCUAUGUUAGGCAUGCCUGGAAACGUGUGACGCAUACGUUUUGUGAACCUGUUCAUAUUAUAUGUGCUUUUAUAUUAUCGUAUUUUAUUAAAAUACUAAUAUUUAUUACUAGUAAGAUAUAACAUUCUAUCUAGCUUAAAAACUAACCAUAAAUAUUCCAUAAUAACUAGAUUUACCAAACUAAUAUACUAAAUAUACAUAAUAAAUACAAAAUUAACAAGACAAUAAUCAAUAUUUAUGAGCUUAAUAUAUUUAGACAUUAUGGUUGGUCGACGAUAAUCAUGCUAACUUUCCGUAAUUGCUUGAUUGUAAAUAUGCUUAGAAUAAUGCCUCUUUGUUCUACAUGGCAAAUAGGGACCAUUAUGGUGUAACACCCUGGGAUCCACAAACACCCUGAAAUGCUACUAAACUACACAACUAACCUUCAUAUAUUAAAUUUCGACAGCAUCUCCUUUGAAAAUUUGUAUAAACGUGGAAGCAACAGAGUAUAAACAGAUAUGAUGAUAAGGAAACAUAAUAGACAUUAAUAAUCUGCUAGAAAUGGGAAGAUAACCAUAACGACAUAAACUGAAUUAACUAGUGUGCACGGCAUGUUAAAAACAAACAUCGUUGACAAGAAGUUUCUAAUUAAAUCAUGGCUGUGCCUAGGCAGCGUUAUUAUAUGAGUGAAGGUGGACGUGAUGCUACUUCCCUCAUUCCCAACAUGAAUCAAGUACCUGUAUUGAGUAAUGCAAGAGUGAGAUGAAAACAUCUCAGCAAGUAAAUUGUUUUGACGAGAUAUUUAAACCAAAAAAAUUUGAUUUAAUCAACAUUUUAAAGGGAUCACAAUUGAGAUCAGACAUACUUGUAGAUAUAAAACUCAAUAGUCCCAAAAUAACCAAUGCCAUCUCAUUUCCACAAACAACCACAAUAGGUUGUAUAACACUUCCCUGCGUCAUCAAUACCUGCAAAUAUCACUUCAAUGUAUGCAUAGGAAUGCAAUGUUUAAGUCCUCUGCAUUCAUACUUCUUAGAGUAUAAAACCACACCAUCUGCAAAUAUCACUUCAAUGAAUGCAUAUGAAUGCAAUGCAUAUGUCCUCUGCCUUCAUACCUCUAAGGGUAUGAAGACGCAUCGUACCCCUCCUCGGGCAACGUACGAUGCUAAGUUGUACCGGUACGGUCGGACCAUAGGUCACGACAAAACUUCAGAUGCAAGUGAAUCAUGACAUGUAUAUGGCAUGCUGCAUUUAUCAAUAUACUACACUUCCUUCACAUACAAUACAAACCUCAAAUAAUACUUCGUUUACCUUCAGAUACAAUACAAACCUCAAAUAAUACUUCAUUCACCUUCAGGGGUGUUUAUUAAUCUCGUGGGUCAUACUCAAAUCAUCAUCAUCAUCAAUGAUGUUUAAGCAUCAGUAUAAUACAAUCAAGUAAAGCAUCACCAUAGAGUUCAAUUAUGAAAGAAUUCGAUGAUUCUGAAUAUUAGAGUGUAUGCGAUGAAACAACAAAGUCAAAACGGUAGCAACCACCGCUACAUUCACUUGCCUUCAUCGAAGAAGAAAAAGGUACUAGGCAUGAUUCGGAGUGUAGACACCUGCUGUGGGGCUUAAAACUUAGUACAAAUAUUCCACAAACAUUUGCCAACAACUAACAAAUCGCUCCUACACUUGUAACCAAGACCCGGUGGAAUGACUCCCACCCUGAACCACAUGUCAAACAGCAGGAGUGCUGUUUGUUAAUUUUGUAUCUUUAAAAUUAUAACAGUGGUGAUAUCAAACAAAUACUCUAGAAGUUUCUACACAAAAUACUCUACAACUUCGGUAUUCAAUGGAUAAUUAAAUUUUGCCAUCUAUAAGUUCUAAAACAUCUGACAAGAUAACUGACAGAAUCUGUUUCAGACAGCAGCAUAGUUAACUUCAAAAUUCGAUAUCUCCCAAACUCCUCAACCAAAAUUUAUGAAAUUAUGUUGACAGUAAGAACUUUUAUCCCUCUACAAAAGUCUCCAUAGUUGGAAGAGCCAAUUCGGCCAUUUACUAGAUGAAACCUACCAUUUAACAGACCCGCUCAUUUUUGUCAGGCAAACAAGAACCCUUAUAUAUCAAAGAGUAGUGGAUUUGAAUUUGUCUAAUAUGAAGUUUAUGGGCUUGGAUCAUUUAAAGUAUUUUAUAAUUCUGAAAGACAAGAUUAAACUAACUAUGUAUGAUCCUUUAGCACCGUACAGAUGGUCGAUGGGACAGUUACAUGGUUUAUAUAGAUGGACAUAUCUAUAUUCCUUCAGUGGUUGAGAAAAAGGUAAAGGUGUGUCACACUCACGCGUGCACUGCCUCCGCCGAGACGAGGCAUGGCGUUGCAAGGUGAGGCAUGGCAUGGUGCAGCACGAUCGUAUACAUGGUCGUGGCACAGUGUAGCACUGUUGUGGAUAGAUAGAUAAACUUUUGUUGUAGUUAGAGUGCAUGAGUUUUUGAAUGCAACACAAGAAUUUUCACAAUUUAACUUAAUUAAGAAGUUAUAUCUUGAUGACACAGAGUUACCUGACCAUUGAUCUCACAUGCCCUUUUAGCUCUCUCGUUCUCUAGACUCACCCUGACUAUUUAGGUCUCCUGACUCGCCAAUAUAAACACCAUCCUAUCAUUUGCUCUCGAAUACUUCUGUGUCACAACUCAACUGUCAGAUGAGUACUCCAUUACAGCACUGAGCAGGCCUCCGAAAUGAAUAUCUACUCAGAUGAAGGACGACAAUCGUGUUCUAGGGAAAUAUCAGCGACACAACUCCUUACUUCCUCCGCUUCUUCCUAGUGUUUUUUGUUGUGAUUGAGUCGACAUAGCAACAACACUGCACUAUUACAACCAGUACGACUAUAUCAACUAGCAAUGUCUUCCUUAUAUGUUACUAUUUAUUUUGCUCAUAUUCAUUAUGUUUAAAUCACAUAGGCGCCUUUAUGUUGGCAUCAAAAAAUCAGUAUCAACUUUAUAGAUUAAAAUGAAACUAAAAGUACCUAAAUUUCUAUCGGUGGGGAUCGAGUGAUUCUUUAAACCGAUUAUUACACAAGUUAACCACACUAAAAUUAACAAUGGUGAAUCGUGCCAUGAUUUUUUUCUAGUGGAAAAUAGCCAAACCAAGCAACACAUAUGUGGCUAUCGUUACACAUGUGUAAAGGUAUUGCAUCACACCAUUGUCACCCAUGUAUUUGGACAAUACCGAGAGGAAAAACCACUUAUUUAUUGUAUUAUAUCAAGUUUGUCUUGCUUACGUAUAAAUUAUAACCCAACAAAGUAAUCACUAAAUGUCAAAACCAACUAGAUACCAUGUCAUCUCUACCUUAUCUUACUAAUAUUCUUUUUGCAAAAUCCAAAAUUAAUCUUGCACAAGCACAAGGACUGAGAUGUGUAUAAAUAUCUCUUAAAUUAGUAGCUAAUAUAUCGCACAUAUUAUUGAGACCAACUAGCAACAUAGAAAGCACAAUAGUGUACCAACAAUGGCAGCCAAAAUAUUUUGCCUCCUUAUGCUCCUUGGUCUUUCUGCAAGUGCUGCUACGGCGACCAUUUUCCCGCAAUGCUCGCAAGCUCCUAUAGCUUCCCUUCUUCCCCCGUACCUCUCACCAGCGGUGUCUUCGGUAUGUGAAAACCCAAUUCUUCAACCCUACAGGAUCCAACAGGCAAUCACAGCUGGCAUCUUACCUUUAUCACCCUUGUUCCUCCAACAAUCAUCAGCCCUAUUACAUCAGUUACCUUUGGUGCAUUUAUUGGCACAAAACAUCAGGGCACAACAACUACAACAACUUGUGCUAGCAAACCUUGCUGCCUACUCUCAGCAACAGCAGUUUCUUCCAUUCAACCAACUAGCUGCAUUGAACUCUGCUUCUUAUUUGCAACAACAACAACUACCAUUCAGCCAGCUACCUGCUGCCUACCCCCAGCAAUUUCUUCCAUUCAACCAACUGGCAGCAUUGAACUCUCCUGCUUAUUUACAGCAGCAACAACUACUACCAUUCAGCCAGCUAGCUGGUGUGAGCCCUGCUACCUUCUUGAUACAACCACAGUUGUUGCCGUUCUACCAGCACGCUGCGCCUAACGCUGGCACCCUCUUACAACUGCAACAAUUGCUGCCAUUCAACCAACUUGCUUUGACAAACCCAGCAGCGUUCUACCAACAACCCAUCAUUGGUGGUGCCCUCUUUUAGAUUUCUUAUGAGUUAUAGUUCAAUAAUAAAGUUUUUUGUCUGAUGUUUGUGGCUUCCCAGAAAUAAGAAAGUACAUUUCUAGAUUCUUAUGUGCUUCUAGUCUCCAAAUGUGGUUGAUAGUUAUUUUGCUCUAAGAUCGACAGUAAUGAAGUAUAAAUCAUCGUUGUGGUGUGCUACUCGGUUAAUUGAGCAUUAACACACACAAACAUGACGAGGAUGGUAUAAUCUCCAAAAAUAUGUACUUUGUUAGGUGGGACCCUAUAGCCUUGCAUAAUGUGCUAUGUUAGGCAUGCCUGGAAACGUGUGACGCAUAUGUUUUGUGAACCUGUUGAUAUUAUAUGUGCUUUUAUAUUACCAUAUUUUAUUAAAAUACUAAUAUUUAUUACUAGUAAGAUAUAACAUUCUAUCUAGCUUAAAAACUAACCAUAAAUAUUCCAUAAUAACUAGAUUUACCAAACUAAUAUACUAAAUAUACAUAAUAAAUACAAAAUUAACAAGACAAUAAUCAAUAUUUAUGAGCUUAAUAUAUUUAGACAUUAUGGUUGGUCGACCAUAAUCAUGCUAACUUUUCGUACUUGCUUGAUUGUAAAUAUGCUUAGAAUAAUGCCUCUUUGUUCUACAUGGCAAAUAGGGACCAUUAUGGUGUAACACCCUGGGAACCACAAACACCCCGAAAUGCUACUAAACUACACAACUAACCUUCAUAUAUAAAAUUUCGACAGCAUCUCCUUUGAAAAUUUGCAUAAACGUGGAAGCAACAGAGUAUAAACAGAUAUCAUGAUAAGGAAACAUACUAGACAUUAAUAAUCUGCUAGAAAUGGGAAGAUAACCAUAACGACAUAAACUGAAUUAACUAGUGUGCACAACUUGUUUAAAACAAACAUCAUUGACAAGAAGUUUCUAAUUAAAUCAUGGCUGUGCCUGGGUAGCGUUAUUAUGAGAGUGAAGGUGGACGUGAUGCUACUUCCCUCAUUCCCAACAUGAAUCAAGUACCUGCAUUGAGUAAUGCAAGAGUGAGAUGAAAACAUCUCAGCAAGUAAAUUGUUUUGACGAGAUAUUUAAAGCAAAAAAAUUUGAUUUACUCAACAUUUUAAAGGGAUCACAAUUGAGAUCAGAAAUACUUGUAGAUAUAGAACUCAAUAGUCCCAAAAUAACCAGUGCCAUCUCAUUUCCUCAAACAACCACAAUAGGUUGUAUAACACUUCCCUGCGUCAUCAAUACCUGCAAAUAUCACUUCAAUGUAUGCAUAGGAAUGCAAUGUUUAAGUCCUCUGCAUUCAUACUUCUUAGAGUAUAAAACCACACCAUCUGCAAAUAUCACUUCAAUGAAUGCAUAUGAAUGCAAUGCAUAUGUCCUCUGCCUUCAUACCUCUAAGGGUAUGAAGCCGAAUCGUACCCCUCCUCGGGCAACGUACGAUGCUAAGUUGUACCGUUACGGUCGGACCAUAGGUCACGACAAAACUUCAUAUGCAAGUGAAUCAUGACAUGUAUAUGGCUUGCUGCAUUUAUCAAUAUACUUCACUUCCUUCAUAUACAAUACAAACCUCAAAUAAUACUUCGUUUACCUUCAGAUACAAUACAAACCUCAAAUAAUACUUCAUUCACCUUCAGGGGUGUUUAUUAAUCUCGUGGGUCAUACUCGAAUCAUCAUCAUCAUCAAUGAUGAUUAAGCAUCAGUAUAAUACAAUCAAGUAAAGCAUCACCAUAGAGUUCAAUUAUGAAAGAAUUCGAUGAUUCUGAAUAUUAGAGUGUAUGCGAUGAAACAACAACGUCAAAACGGUAGCAACCACCGCUACAUUCACUUGCCUUCAUCGAAGAAGAAAAACAUACUAGGCAUGAUUCAGAGUGUAGACACCUGCUGUGGGGCUUAAAACUUAGUACAAAUAUUCCACAAACAUUUGCCAACAAUUAACAAAUCGCUCCUACACUUGAAACCAAGACCCGGUGGAAUGACUCCCACCCUGAACCACAUGCCAAACAAUAGUAGUGUUGUUUGUUAAUUUUGUAUCUUUAAAAUUAUAACAGUGGUGAUAUCAAACAAAUACUCCAGAAGUUUCUACACAAAAUACUCUACAACUUUGGUAUUCAAUGGAUAAUUAAAUUUUGCCAUCUAUAAGUUCUAAAACAUCUGAUAAGAUAACUGACUGAAUUUGUUUCAGACAACAGCAUAGUUAACUUCAAAAUUCGAUAUCUCCCAAACUCCUCAACCAAAAAUUAUGAAAUUAUUCUGACAGUAAGAACUUUUUUCCCUCUACAAAAGUAUCUAUAGUUGGAAGAGCCAAUUCGGCCAUUUACUAGAUGAAACCUACCAGUUAACAGACCCGCUCAUUUUUGUCAGGCAAACAAGAACCCUUAUAUAUCAAAGAGUAGUGGAUUUGAAUUUGUCUAAUAUGAAGUUUAUGGGCUUGGAUCAUUUAAAGUAUUUUAUAAUUCUGAAAGACAAGAUUAAACUAACUAUGUAUGAUCCUUUAGCACUGUACAGAUGGUCGAUGGGACAGUUACAUGGUUUAUAUAGAUGGACCUAUCUAUAUUCCUUCAGUGGUUGAGAAAAAGGUAAAGGUGUGUCACACUCACGUGUGCGCCGCCUCUACCGAGAUGAGGCAUGGCGUUGCAAGGUGAGGCAUGGCAUGGUGCAGCACGAUCGUAUACAUGGUCGUGGCACAGUGUAGCACUGUUGUGGAUAGAUAGAUAAACUUUUGUUGUAGUUAGAGUGCAUGAGUUUUUGAAUGCAACACAAGAAUUUUCACAAUUUAACUUAAUUAAGAAGUUAUAUCUUGAUGACACAGAGUUACCUGACCAUUGAUCUCACAUGCCCUUUUAGCUCUCUCGUUCUCUAGACUCACCCUGACUAUUUAGGUCUCCUGACUCGCCAAUAUAAACACCAUCCUAUCAUUUGCUCUCGAAUACUUCUGUGUCACAACUCAACUGUCAGAUGAGUACUCCAUUACAGCACUGAGCAGGCCUCCGAAAUGAAUAUCUACUCAGAUGAAGGACGACAAUCGUGUUCUAGGGAAAUAUCGGUGACACAACUCCUUACUUCCUCCGCUUCUUCCUAGUGUUUUUUGUUGUGAUUGAGUCGACACAGCAACAACACUGCACUAUUACAACCAGUACGACUAUAUUAACUAGCAAUGUCUUCCUUAUAUGUUACUAUUUAUUUUGCUCAUAUUCAUUAUGUUUAAAUCACAUAGGCACCUUUUUGUUGGCAUCAAAAAAUUAGUAUCAACUUUCUAGAUUAAAGUGAAACUAAAAGUACCUAAAUUUCUAUCGGUGGGGAUCGAGUGAUUCUUUAAACCAAUUAUUACGCAAGUUAACCACACUAAAAUUAACAUUGGUGAACCGUGCCAUGAUUUUUUCUAAUGGAAAAUAGCCAAACCAAGCAACACAUAUGUGGCUAUCGUUACACAUGUGUAAAGGUAUUGCAUCACACCAUUGUCACCCAUGUAUUUGGACAAUACCGAGAGGAAAAACCACUUAUUUAUUGUAUUUUAUCAAGUUUGUCUUGCUUACGUAUAAAUUAUAACCCAACAAAGUAAUCACUAAAUGUCAAAACCAACUAGAUACCAUGUCAUCUCUACCUUAUCUUACUAAUAUUCUUUUUGCAAAAUCCAAAAUUAAUCUUGCACAAGCACAAGGACUGAGAUGUGUAUAAAUAUCUCUUAAAUUAGUAGCUAAUAUAUCACACAUAUUAUUGAGACCAACUAGCAACAUAGAAAGCACAAUAGUGUACCAACAAUGGCAGCUAAAAUAUUUUGCCUCCUUAUGCUCCUUGGUCUUUCUGCAAGUGCUGCUACGGCGACCAUUUUCCCACAAUGCUCACAAGCUCCUAUAGCUUCCCUUCUUCCCCCGUACCUCUCACCAACGGUGUCUUCGGUAUGUGAAAACCCAAUUCUUCAACCCUACAGGAUCCAACAGGCAAUCGCAGCUGGCAUCUUACCUUUAUCACCCUUGUUCCUCCAACAAUCAUCAGCCCUAUUACAGCAGUUACCUUUGGUGCAUUUAUUGGCACAAAACAUCAGGGCACAACAACUACAACAACUUGUGCUAGCAAACCUUGCUGCCUACUCUCAGCAACAGCAGUUUCUUCCAUUCAACCAACUAGCUGCAUUGAACUCUGCUUCUUAUUUGCAACAACAACAACUACCAUUCAGCCAGCUAUCUGCUGCCUACCCCCAGCAAUUUCUUCCAUUCAACCAACUGACAGCAUUGAACUCUCCUGCUUAUUUACAGCAGCAACAACUACUACCAUUCAGCCAGCUAGCUGGUGUGAGCCCUGCUACCUUCUUGACACAACCACAGUUGUUGCCGUUCUACCAGCACGCUGCGCCUAACGCUGGCACCCUCUUACAACUGCAACAAUUGCUGCCAUUCAACCAACUUGCUUUGACAAACCCAGCAGCAUUCUACCAACAACCCAUCAUUGGUGGUGCCCUCUUUUAGAUUUCUUAUGAGUUAUAGUUCAAUAAUAAAGUUUUUUGUCUGAUGUUUGUGGCUUCCCAGAAAUAAGAAAGUACAUUUCUAGAUUCUUAUGUGCUUCUAGUCUCCAAAUGUGGUUGAUAGUUAUUUUGCUCUAAGAUCAACAGUAAUGAAGUAUAAAUCAUCGUUGUGGUGUGCUACUCGGUUAAUUGAGCAUUAACACACACAAACAUGACGAGGAUGGUAUAAUCUCCAAAAAUGUGUACUUUGUUAGGUGGGACCCUAUAGCCUUGAUUAAUGUGCUAUGUUAGGCAUGCCUGGAAACGUGUGACGCAUAUGUUUUGUGAACCUGUUGAUAUUAUAUGUGCUUUUAUAUUACCAUAUUUUAUUAAAAUACUAAUAUUUAUUACUAGUAAGAUAUAACAUUCUAUCUAGCUUAAAAACUAACCAUAAAUAUUCCAUAAUAACUAGAUUUACCAAACUAAUAUACUAAAUAUACAUAAUAAAUACAAAAUUAACAAGACAAUAAUCAAUAUUUAUGAGCUUAAUAUAUUUAGACAUUAUGGUUGGUCGACGAUAAUCAUGCUAACUUUUCGUAAUUGCUUGAUUGUAAAUAUGCUUAGAAUAAUGCCUCUUUGUUCUACAUGGCAAAUAGGGACCAUUAUGGUGUAACACCCUGGGAACCACAAACACCCCGAAAUGCUACUAAACUACACAACUAACCUUCAUAUAUAAAAUUUCGACAGCAUCUCCUUUGAAAAUUUGCAUAGACGUGGAAGCAACAGAGUAUAAACAGAUAUCAUGAUAAGAAAACAUACUAGACAUUAAUAAUCUGCUAGAAAUGGGAAGAUAACCAUAACGACAUAAACUGAAUUAACUAGUGUGCACAACUUGUUAAAAACAAACAUCGUUGACAAGAAGUUUCUAAUUAAAUCAUGGUUGUGCCUGGGCAGCGUUAUUAUGAGAGUGAAGGUGGACGUGAUGCUACUUCCCUCAUUCCCAACAUGAAUCAAGUACCUGCAUUGAGCAAUGCAAGAGUGAGAUGAAAACAUCUCAGCAAGUAAAUUGUUUUGACGAGAUAUUUAAACCAAAAAAAUUUGAUUUACUCAACAUUUUAAAGGGAUCACAAUUGAGAUCAGAAAUACUUGUAGAUAUAGAACUCAAUAGUCCCAAAAUAACCAGUGCCAUCUCAUUUCCUCAAACAACCACAAUAGGUUGUAUAACACUUCCCUGCGUCAUCAAUACCUGCAAAUAUCACUUCAAUGUAUGCAUAGGAAUGCAAUGUUUAAGUCCUCUGCAUUCAUACUUCUUAGAGUAUAAAACCACACCAUCUGCAAAUAUCACUUCAAUGAAUGCAUAUGAAUGCAAUGCAUAUGUCCUCUGCCUUCAUACCUCUAAGGGUAUGAAGCCGAAUCGUACCCCUCCUCGGGCAACGUACGAUGCUAAGUUGUACCGGUACGGUCGGACCAUAGGUCACGACAAAACUUCAUAUGCAAGUGAAUCAUGACAUGUAUAUGGCUUGCUGCAUUUAUCAAUAUACUUCACUUCCUUCAUAUACAAUACAAACCUCAAAUAAUACUUCGUUUACCUUCAGAUACAAUACAAACCUCAAAUAAUACUUCAUUCACCUUCAGGGGUGUUUAUUAAUCUCGUGGGUCAUACUCGAAUCAUCAUCAUCAUCAAUGAUGAUUAAGCAUCAGUAUAAUACAAUCAAGUAAAGCAUCACCAUAGAGUUCAAUUAUGAAAGAAUUCGAUGAUUCUGAAUAUUAGAGUGUAUGCGAUGAAACAACAACGUCAAAACGGUAGCAACCACCGCUACAUUCAUUUGCCUUCAUCGAAGAAGAAAAAUGUACUAGGCAUGAUUCAGAGUGUAGACACCUGCUGUGGGGCUUAAAACUUAGUACAAAUAUUCCACAAACAUUUGCCAACAAUUAACAAAUCGCUCCUACACUUGAAACCAAGACCCGGUGGAAUGACUCCCACCCUGAACCACAUGCCAAACAAUAGUAGUGCUGUUUGUUAAUUUUGUAUCUUUAAAAUUAUAACAGUGGUGAUAUCAAACAAAUACUCUAGAAGUUUCUACACAAAAUACUCUACAACUUCGGUAUUCAAUGGAUAAUUAAAUUUUGCCAUCUAUAAGUUCUAAAACAUCUGAUAAGAUAACUGACUGAAUUUGUUUCAGACAGCAGCAUAGUUAACUUCAAAAUUCGAUAUCUCCCAAACUCCUCAACCAAAAAUUAUGAAAUUAUGCUGACAGUAAGAACUUUUUGUCCCUCUACAAAAGUAUCUAUAGUUGGAAGAGCCAAUUCGGCCAUUUACUAGAUGAAACCUACCAGUUAACAGACCCGCUCAUUUUUGUCAGGCAAACAAGAACCCUUAUAUAUCAAAGAGUAGUGGAUUUGAAUUUGUCUAAUAUGAAGUUUAUGGGCUUGGAUCAUUUAAAGUAUUUUAUAAUUCUGAAAGACAAGAUUAAACUAACUAUGUAUGAUCCUUUAGCACCGUACAGAUGGUCGAUGGGACAGUUACAUGGUUUAUAUAGAUGGACCUAUCUAUAUUCCUUCAGUGGUUGAGAAAAAGGUAAAGGUGUGUCACACUCACGUGUGCGCCGCCUCUGCCGAGAUGAGGCAUGGCGUUGCAAGGUGAGGCAUGGCAUGGUGCAGCACGAUCGCAGUCAUGGUCGUGGCACAGUGUAGCACUGUUGUGGAUAGAUAGAUAAACUAUUGUUGUAGUUAGAGUGCAUGAGUUUUUGAAUGCAACACUAGGAUUUUCACAAUUUAACUUAAUUAAGAAGUUAUAUCUUGAUGACACAGAGUUACCUGACCAUUGAUCUCACAUGCCCUUUUAGCUCUCUUGUUCUCUAGACUCACCCUGACUAUUGAGGUCUCUUGACUCGCCAAUAUAAACACCAUCCUAUCAUUUGCUCUCGAAUACUUUUGUGUCACAACUCAACUGUCAGAUGAGUACUCCAUUACAGCACUGAGCAGGCCUCCGAAAUGAAUAUCUACUCAGAUGAAGGACGACAAUCGUGUUCUAGGGAAAUAUCAGUGACACAACUCCUUACUUCCUCUGCUUCUUCCUAGUGUUUUUUGUUGUGAUUGAGUCGACACAGCAACAACACUGCACUAUUACAACCAGUACGACUAUAUUAACUAGCAAUGUCUUCCUUAUAUGUUACUAUUUAUUUUGCUCAUAUUCAUUAUGUUUAAAUCACAUAGGCACCUUUUUGUUGGCAUCAAAAAAUUAGUAUCAACUUUCUAGAUUAAAGUGAAACUAAAAGUACCUAAAUUUCUAUCGGUGGGGAUCGAGUGAUUCUUUAAACCGAUUAUUACACAAGUGAACCACACUAAAAUUAACAUUGGUGAAUCGUGCCAUGAUUUUUUCUAGUGGAAAAUAGCCAAACCAAGCAACACAUAUGUGGCUAUCGUUACACAUGUGUAAAGGUAUUGCAUCACACCAUUGUCACCCAUGUAUUUGGACAAUACCGAGAGGAAAAACCACUUAUUUAUUGUAUUUUAUCAAGUUUGUCUUGCUUACGUAUAAAUUAUAACCCAACAAAGUAAUCACUAAAUGUCAAAACCAACUAGAUACCAUGUCAUCUCUACCUUAUCUUACUAAUAUUCUUUUUGCAAAAUCCAAAAUUAAUCUUGCACAAGCACAAGGACUGAGAUGUGUAUAAAUAUCUCUUAAAUUAGUAGCUAAUAUAUCACACAUAUUAUUGAGACCAACUAGCAACAUAGAAAGCACAAUAGUGUACCAACAAUGGCAGCCAAAAUAUUUUGCCUCCUUAUGCUCCUUGGUCUUUCUGCAAGUGCUGCUACGGCGACCAUUUUCCCACAAUGCUCACAAGCUCCUAUAGCUUCCCUUCUUCCCCCGUACCUCUCACCAGCGGUGUCUUCGGUAUGUGAAAACCCAAUUCUUCAACCCUAUAGGAUCCAACAGGCAAUCGCAGCUGGCAUCUUACCUUUAUCACCCUUGUUCCUCCAACAAUCAUCAGCCCUAUUACAGCAGUUACCUUUGGUGCAUUUAUUGGCACAAAACAUCAGGGCACAACAACUACAACAACUUGUGCUAGCAAACCUUGCUGCCUACUCUCAGCAACAACAGUUUCUUCCAUUCAACCAACUAGCUGCAUUGAACUCUGCUUCUUAUUUGCAACAACAACAACUACCAUUCAGCCAGCUAUCUGCUGCCUACCCCCAGCAAUUUCUUCCAUUCAACCAACUGACAGCUUUGAACUCUCCUGCUUAUUUACAGCAGCAACAACUACUACCAUUCAGCCAGCUAGCUGGUGUGAGCCCUGCUACCUUCUUGACACAACCACAAUUGUUGCCGUUCUACCAGCACGCUGCGCCUAACGCUGGCACCCUCUUACAACUGCAACAAUUGCUGCCAUUCAACCAACUUGCUUUGACAAACCCAACAGCAUUCUACCAACAACCCAUCAUUGGUGGUGCCCUCUUUUAGAUUUCUUAUGAGUUAUAGUUCAAUAAUAAAGUUUUUUGUCUGAUGUUUGUGGCUUCCCAGAAAUAAGAAAGUACAUUUCUAGAUUCUUAUGUGCUUCUAGUCUCCAAAUGUGGUUGAUAGUUAUUUUGCUCUAAGAUUAGCAGUAAUGAAGUAUAAAUCAUCGUUGUGGUGUGCUACUCGGUUAAUUGAGCAUUAACACACACAAACAUGACGAGGAUGGUAUAAUCUCCAAAAAUGUGUACUUUGUUAGGUGGGACCCUAUAGCCUUGCAGAAUGUGCUACGUUAGGCAUGCCAAUGGAAACGUGUGACACAUACGUUUUGUGAAUCUGUUGAUAUUAUAUGUGCUUUUAUAUUACCAUAUUUUAUUAAAAUACUAAUAUUUAUUACUAGUAAGAUAUAACAUUCUAUCUAGCUUAAAAACUAACCAUAAAUAUUCCAUAAUAACUAGAUUUACCAAACUAAUAUACUAAAUAUACAUAAUAAAUAUAAAAUUAACAAGACAAUAAUUAAUAUUUAUGAGCUUAAUUUAUUUAGACAUUAUGGUUGGUCGACGAUAAUCAUGCUAACUUUCCGUAAUUGCUUGAUUGUAAAUAUGCUUAGAAUAAUGCCUCUUUGUUCUACAUGGCAAAUAGGGACCAUUAUGGUGUAACACCCCGGGAUCCACAAACACCCCGAAAUGCUACUAAACUACACAACUAACCUUCAUAUAUAAAAUUUCGACAGCAUCUCCUUUGAAAAUUUGCAUAAACGUGGAAGCAACAGAGUAUAAACAGAUAUCAUGAUAAGGAAACAUACUAGACAUUAAUAAUCUGCUAGAAAUGGGAAGAUAACCAUAACGACAUAAACUGAAUUAACUAGUGUGCACAACUUGUUAAAAACAAACAUCGUUGACAAGAAGUUUCUAAUUAAAUCAUGGUUGUGCCUGGGCAGCGUUAUUAUGAGAGUGAAGGUGGACGUGAUGCUACUUCCCUCAUUCCCAACAUGAAUCAAGUACCUGCAUUGAGUAAUGCAAGAGUGAGAUGAAAACAUCUCAGCAAGUAAAUUGUUUUGACGAGAUAUUUAAACCAAAAAAAUUGAUUUAAUCAACAUUUUAAAGGGAUCACAAUUGAGAUCAGAAAUACUUGUAGAUAUAGAACUCAAUAGUCCCAAAAUAACCAAUGCCAUCUCAUUUCCUCAAACAACCACAAUAGGUUGUAUAACACUUCCCUGCGUCAUCAAUACCUGCAAAUAUCACUUCAAUGUAUGCAUAGGAAUGCAAUGUUUAAGUCCUCUGCAUUCAUACUUCUUAGAGUAUAAAACCACACCAUCUGCAAAUAUCACUUCAAUGAAUGCAUAUGAAUGCAAUGCAUAUGUCCUCUGCCUUCAUACCUCUAAGGGUAUGAAGCCGCAUCGUACCCCUCCUCGGGCAACGUACGAUGCUAAGUUGUACCGGUACGGUCGGACCAUAGGUCACGACAAAACUUCAGAUGCAAGUGAAUCAUGACAUGUAUAUGGCAUGCUGCAUUUAUCAAUAUACUUCACUUCCUUCAUAUACAAUACAAACCUAAAAUAAUACUUCGUUUACCUUCAGAUACAAUACAAACCUCAAAUAAUACUUCAUUCACCUUCAGGGGUGUUUAUUAAUCUCGUGGGUCAUACUCAAAUCAUCAUCAUCAUCAAUGAUGUUUAAGCAUCAGUAUAAUACAAUCAAGUAAAGCAUCACCAUAGAGUUCAAUUAUGAAAGAAUUCGAUGAUUCUGAAUAUUAGAGUGUAUGCGAUGAAACAACAAAGUCAAAACGGUAGCAACCACCUCUACAUUCACUUGCCUUCAUCGAAGAAGAAAAAGGUACUAGGCAUGAUUCGGAGUGUAGACACCUGCUGUGGGGCUUAAAACUUAGUACAAAUAUUCCAUAAACAUUUGCCAACAAUUAACAAAUCGCUCCUACACUUGAAACCAAGACCCGGUGGAAUGACUCCCACCCUGAACCACAUGCCAAACAACAAUAGUGUUGUUUGUUAAUUUCUAUCUUUAAAAUUAUAACAGUGGUGAUAUCAAACAAAUACUCUAUACGUUUCUACACAAAAUACUCUACAACUUCGGUAUUCAAUGGAUAAUUAAAUUUUGCCAUCUAUAAGUUCUAAAACAUCUGACAAGAUAACUGACUGAAUCUGUUUCAGACAACAGCAUAGUUAACUUCAAAAUUCGAUAUCUCCCUAACUCCUCAACAAAAAAUUAUGAAAUUAUGCUGACAGUAAGAACUUUUAUCCCUCUACAAAAGUCUCCAUAGUUGAAAGAGCCAAUUCGGCCAUUUACUAGAUGAAACCUACCAGUUAACGGACCCGCUCAUUUUUGUCAAGCAAACAAGAACCCUUAUAUAUCAAAGAGUAGUGGAUUUGAAUUUGUCUAAUAUGAAGUUUACGGGCUUGGCUCAUUUAAAGUAUUUAAUAAUUCUGAAAGACAAGAUUAAACUAACUAUGUAUGAUCCUUUAGCACCGUACAGAUGGUCGAUGGGACAGUUACAUGGUUUAUAUAGAUGGACCUAUCUAUAUUCCUUCAGUGGUUGAGAAAAAAGUAAAGGUGUGUCACACUCACGUGUGCGCCGCCUCCGCCGAGACGAGGCAUGGCGUUGCAAGGUGAGGCAUGGCAUGGUGUAGCACGAUAGCAGUCAUGGUCGUGGCACAGUGUAGCACUGUUGUGGAUAGAUAGGUAAACUAUUGUUGUAGUUAGAGUGCAUGAGUUUUUGAAUGCAACACUAGAAUUUUCACAAUUUAACUUAAUUAAGAAGUUAUAUCUUGAUGACACAGAGUUACCUGACCAUUGAUCUCACAUGCCCUUUUAGCUCUCUCGUUCUCUAGACUCACCCUGACUAUUUAAGUCUCUUGACUCGCCAAUAUAAACACCAUCCUAUCAUUUGCUCUAGAAUACUUCUGUGUCACAACUCAACUGUCAGAUGAGUACUCCAUUACAGCACUUACGUACACGAGUUCUAUGAGAGCAGGCCUCCAAAAUGAAUAUCUACUUAGAUGAAGGACGACAAUCGUGUUCUAGGGAAAUAUCAGCGACACAACUCCUUACUUCCUUCGCUUCUUCCUAGUGUUUUUUGUUGUGAUUGAGUCGACACAGCAACAACACUGCACUAUUACAACCAGUACGACUAUAUCAACUAGCAAUGUCUUCCUUAUAUGUUACUAUUUAUUUUGCACAUAUUCAUUAUGUUUAAAUCACAUAGGCACCUUUCUAUUGGCAUCAAAAAAUUAGUAUCAACUUUCUAGAUUAAAAUGAAACUAAAAGUACAUAAAUUUCUAUCGGUGGGGAUCGAGUGAUUCUUUAAACCGAUUAUUACACAAGUUAACCACACUAAAAUUAACAUUGGUGAAUCGUGCCAUGAUUUUUUUUCUAGUGGAAAAUAGCCAAACCAAGCAACACAUAUGUGGCUAUCGUUACACAUGUGUAAAGGUAUUGCAUCACACUAUUGUCACCCAUGUAUUUGGACAAUACCGAGAGGAAAAACCACUUAUUUAUUGUAUUUUAUCAAGUUUGUCUUGCUUACGUAUAAAAUUAUAACCCAACAAAGUAAUCACUAAACGUCAAAACCAACUAGAUAUCAUGUCAUCUCUACCUUAUCUUACUAAUAUUCUUUUUGCAAAAUCCAAAAUUAAUCUUGCACAAGCACAAGGACUGAGAUGUGUAUAAAUAUCUCUUAAAUUAGUAGCUAAUAUAUCGCACAUAUUAUUUAGACCAACUAGCAACAUAGAAAGCACAAUAGUGUACCAACAAUGGCAGCCAAAAUAUUUUGCCUCCUUAUGCUCCUUGGUAUUUCUGCAAGUGCUGCUACGGCGACCAUUUUCCCGCAAUGCUCACAAGCUCCUAUAGCUUCCCUUCUUCCCCCGUACCUCUCACCAGCGGUGUCUUCGGUAUGUGAAAACCCAAUUCUUCAACCCUACAGGAUCCAACAGGCAAUCGCAGCUGGCAUCUUACCUUUAUCACCCUUGUUCCUCCAACAAUCAUCAGCCCUAUUACAGCAGUUACCUUUGGUGCAUUUAUUGGCACAAAACAUCAGGGCACAACAACUACAACAACUUGUGCUAGCAAACCUUGCUGCCUACUCUCAGCAACAGCAGUUUCUUCCAUUCAACCAACUAGCUGCAUUGAACUCUGCUUCUUAUUUGCAACAACAACAACUACCAUUCAGCCAGCUACCUGUUGCCUACCCCCAGCAAUUUCUUCCAUUCAACCAACUGGCAGCAUUGAACUCUCCUGCUUAUUUACAGCAGCAACAACUACUACCAUUCAGCCAGCUAGCUGGUGUGAGCCCUGCUACCUUCUUGACACAACCACAGUUGUUGCCGUUCUACCAGCACGCUGCGCCUAACGCUGGCACCCUCUUACAACUGCAACAAUUGCUGCCAUUCAACCAACUUGCUUUGACAAACCUAGCAGUGUUCUACCAACAACCCAUCAUUGGUGGUGCCCUCUUUUAGAUUUCUUAUGAGUUAUAGUUCAAUAAUAAAGUUUUUUGUCUGAUGUUUGUGGCUUCCCAGAAAUAAGAAAGUACAUUUCUAGAUUCUUAUGUGCUUCUAGUCUCCAAAUGUGGUUGAUAGUUAUUUUGCUCUAAGAUCAGCAGUACAACAACAACAACAACAACAACAACAACAACAACAAAGCCUUUUUGUCCCAAGCACGUUGGGGUAGGCUAGAGAUGAAACCCCGUAUGAAAACCUCAGAGCUCAACCCCCAAAGAACAGAAAAGGGAAACAAAGGCAAAGGAGAACCGAAAACAACGAAACGGGGAAACACAUAAAAGAGAUAAAACCCACAAGGACCAGCAAGAUCUAAAAUGGACACAAGAAAAGGUCAAACGAUUAAGGAGGAA